GGGCAGAACCCUACUGAGGCAGAACUCCAGGACAUGAUCAAUGAAGUUGAUGCUGAUGGUAAUGGGACCAUCGACUUCCCUGAAUUCCUCAACCUUAUGGCUAGGAAAAUGAAGGACACCGACUCUGAGGAGGAGCUCAAGGAGGCCUUCCGAGUCUUUGAUAAAGAUCAGAAUGGGUUCAUUUCGGCUGCUGAGCUGCGCCAUGUCAUGACCAACCUCGGGGAGAAGCUUACUGAUGAAGAAGUGGAUGAGAUGAUACGUGAGGCUGAUGUUGAUGGCGAUGGACAGAUCAAUUAUGAAGAAUUUGUCAAGGUUAUGAUGGCCAAGUAAUGAUCCUACCCCUAACAAUCCACAAAGACAUCCGAUUUAAGUAAAUCUGAAAAGAACAGAACGAAGGCUUUAAUAGUGUAGUUGGUUUGGUAGCAUCUUUAUUAUCUUUUUAUCAAAUUGUUAUGGUGGAACUCUAAUGGAUGUAGUGGUGAUGUCGUUAUGGUGGUGGUAGAAGUUCUGUUUUAUUUGUGUUGCAACUUUUUUAUUACAGUAGCAGCUUUAUGAAGAUAUUUGUUUGUCUAUUACCAAUAUUGGUAGGUGUUUAACUCCUUGUAUCAACCGGAAACCCGUAGUAGUUUUCUUCUGAAGACUUGCUCUUGUUUUUCCUUUCCAUUUCCUGUGUAUCUUAUGCCCUAACGCUUUCCAUGAUGAUAAGAGAUAAGUCUUGCAAAUGAAUAUCUGCUCUAACAAAUCUUCUUAAAGGUGAGUAAGAAUCGAACUAAAAAGAACUUAAUGUCAGACUAAUAAGAUUUCAGCCUGGGUAAAUGAUCCGUGUAUUCCGAAGAUUUUCGUCUGGGUAAUCCUGUGUGCCUUCUGAAGAGUUAGAGCAACAGAAUCAUGAAGAUAGCAUUUGCAGCACAAAAAAUAAUAAAUGUUGUAGAUUUACAACACAAACAAAAAAUAAUAAAUGAUUUAAAACACAAAAAAUAAUAAAUACUUGACCACGAUCUAUGCCUUCCGAAGAUUCGGGACUGGAUAAUAAUUUGUGUCUUCCGAAGAGUUAGAGCAGCGGCACCAAGAUAGCAUUUAUAACACAAAAUGUAAUAAAUACUUGACUACGACCUAGUCCCGUACCGGAAAGAUUGUACUUAAAUGAUUUGUGAUUUUCGAAGAGUUAGAGCAGCCGAACCCAAUAAGAUAGCAAUUAUAACACAAUGUCUUCCGACGAGUUAGAACAACUGAACCCAAUAAUAUUGUACUUGACUGUGAGCCACUCACAUACCGGAAAUAUUGUAUAGCUAAAUAUUAGCCGUGAUAUACUUUCAUUCACAACUGAAACAAUUGUAUAAUAUAUUUUAUUGUGACCUACUUUCAUCGGAAACAAUAAUAUUGGAUAAUGUCAAAAAUAUUUGAAAUAUUUGUAUAACAUACUUGGUUGCGAGCUACUUUCAUUCACACUAGAAAUAUUGUAUAUAUUAUUUGACUACAUACUUCCUUAGCAAAAAUACUAUAUAACCAAUUUUGUUAUAUAUAUGUAAUCAUCUAUUUGGUGAUGGUUAUGCAACACUAUAACUUCAAUGUCGUGUUUAGUUAGGAAGAAUAGAAUGAAAUGAGAUAAUAGAGGUUGGAGCACAAUCUGAAAAAAAAUUUGACUACAACCUAGGCAAAAUAAGAAUGGGAUAAUAGAGGUUGGAGCAAAGCUUAAAAAAAAAUUUGAGUGGAGGCAAAAUAAGAGGGAAUGAAGCAUUUCUUCCUUCCCAAAUUAGUGGUAUGAUCUUGGUACAGGGACGAUGCAGGAAAUGAAAGAAGAAAUGAAAUGUGUAAAUAAAAUACCUAUAACAUAGUUCAAAAAUCAUUCCAUAUUGAUUCAUCCAAACAAACCAAACAUAACAUAAGAUACUUAUCGUACAUGCAUAAUCCACAACCGGUUUUCUGUCCGUUCUGACAUAUGAUGUCAGAACUUGCCAAAUGUAUUACCCUAAUAUUUGGAUAUAUUUCUCAGGAAACAAAAGUUGUUCUUCAAGGAGAUGAAAAAGGGAGAAGAAAAAUCUGCUCAACCACCAAGGUUCUUAUAAAUUUGUAAUAACCAAAGUACAUAUCAGAAUGACAAUUACAUUACAUAAAAAAGAAACAAGUCGAUUCAUUUCAUCCCUACACAAGAUCGGGUGGCGUUUUCCUCAUCGAUCCAUCAUACAAAUACAAGGGAAAAGAGAAUCCAGUCACUGAUGCAACUAUUUCACUUGCUAUCAUUAUAAUCUUUUCAAGCUUUUCUUUCUUGCAUCGAUCUUCUUCUUGUCUGCAUUAACCUUGGGCAACCCAACAUUUUCCUUAUUUUUCAUCACUGGCGCCAGUGAAGAAGUUGCCGAGCCACUAAUUCCCGUAUCUGUCACUGUACUGGAGGCAGCAUUUGUCGACUGGUCUUGACUUCCUUUGACCACAGUAUUAGUAGUAGGGGCCAAUGGAGAUGGCAAUGGAACUGCAGCGCCUGUUGCACCAUUCUUCUGUUCAGUGCUAAGAACUGAGGUGUUGGUCUGGCCAACAUUUAAAGCAGUGGUCGACUCAGAAAUUGCUCCAUUUUUAAACUUUGGUUUUGGCUUUAUAGCAUGACAAUCAGUGUAGAUCCUGUGGUUUUAAAAAAGCCACAUCAUAAUGCAAGGAGAGCAAAAGAGAAUUUUAUAUGUUGACAAGUACUGCCUAGUGGCAAAAGGUGUCUCUCUUCCCAUUAAGGGUCUGAGAAUCCUCAUCCCCCUCCCCCUCAAACAAAAACUAUACAAGAAAUAUGAAAUUGGUUUAAAGAUUGCAAUCAAGAUUUGAGAACCUAGAUAUCAUGUGAAUAAAAAUGCACCCAGUAAGAUGUUGAAUACUUCACUCAUUUUGAAUAAUAGACAGAACAAUAUAAGGUAUGCCUAUACUGACCCCGUUUGUCUAGUACACCCCAAAAUAAUAGUGUCUCUUGAAUAUUUUGAUAUUAUUUGUCCAUCUCUAGCCAAUACAAAGUAGCAAACUAAAUCCCAAAAUUACCCUCACUUAUUUGUCAUUUCAAUGUUGAAUUCUCUUUUUAUUGCGAGUAAAUGCAAAAAAAAUACUCCCUCCGUCCCAUCUAAUUCUUAUCAUUAUGGGACGGGGGCUCGGCACGCACUUUAAGACUCUUAAAGAGUAUAAUUCUAUUAUUUUUUAUUUUUUUUUCUUCUGAAUAAAAAUUUAACAUUUAUAUUUUUAUACAGAAAAAGAAAAUUUUAAAAAAGAGUUAUGAAAUUAUAUUUUAUAUGUGGCUUCAAAUGCGUGCCGAAUAUUGAAAAAGAAAUGCAAAGAAAUGGAUGGGACAGAGGGAGUAUGCAACUUGGGAAAAAGAUGACAUCUAAAGUUUCAAUGUGUGCCAAUUUUAUGGUGAAUGGCGUAUUAUAGGACACCGGUCUCUUUUGGUGAAAUCUUCCCACUGUCUCUUUAACUUGGGUGAGAGUCCGGGAGCAGGUGAGGUUCGAACCCUGUGACCCUUUAGAUCAAGGCAAGGCCCUGUUUCCGCCGGGGCAGCUCUCACACUCUAAUGUUGGUUAAUUUUUUACAAGAGACUAAUAAAAUGGGAUGGAGGGAGUAAUGUUUUACAUGUUUAGACAAACACAAAAAGUUACUUGCACUUAGAAAUUUACUUUUAAGCUAAAACAAGGCUGUAGGUAAACUCAGGUGUACGUCUGUUGUAGUGUAAUUUGUCAAAACCAGGAAACUUAUCUCUCACCUGGCAUAUCUAGCGUACUCUUCAUAAUCAUCAAGCAGCAUCUUUCCGGCCUGCUCAUUCAAAGCUGAUCCCGGAAAUGGUUCAAUCAGUAAGCAUCUAAUGACCUGUCCACGGAAGGGAAUAAGUUGAACAUAUCAUUAUAUAAAGCAUGCCAAGUCAGAGGAAAAGAAAUGUAAACUUAAGUACUUUGCAAUAAGUAGCAAAGAAAACAAAGUGGAUCUUUACAUCAUAAAGAAAACAAAACAUCAAAAAUCUCAUAAACUUACAAUAAGAACAUGUCUUAAGCCAAGACCAGGGUUCCAAUCCUUUUUCAACGUGUUGACACAGAUCUCACCAUUUUUUGGUGCGACGUUCGGGUGGAAAAUCUUGGUCAAAAAAUAGCCUGAAAAACAGCAUAGGCAAAGUGUUGUUCUGUAGCUCAGGAAUAAAUUACUAGAACCACGAAUGGAAGAGAACUUUUGACAAUAAACAGAUAAACAUGGGAGCAAAUUUUAUCUUCACUUCACUACAAGUAACACUGAAGCCUUAUUUUUUAUUGGCAUGUAACAGAAGUAAUGAUGAUAAGAACAAGUGCACCAAGAGGUUGUAAGAUUCAGGCAACAGUAUGAUUCCUGAACCACCAAUUCCACCACAAGAGAGUGAAAAAGUAGAUAUCUUAACCUUCAAGACAGAGACCACUAAACAAGACCAUGCAAAUGAAUAGAAAUUAAAGAAUGCAAUUGCAUUGUACUUCCAAUAUCUUUUGGGAUAACAAGCAAGUGUAAAGAAGGUCAGAAUGUAAGUUUCAACAGUUAAUGUUUUUUUAGAAGUAGAAACAGUGUAACACGAUGGUCCUAGGAUCUUAAGUACCAUAUUGACUUUUUGAAUAUAGAUCCAACAAACCUGCGGGAGGAGAAUGCGGGUAAUCAUGACCAAGUAUUAACUUCAUCCGAAAAACACCAUUGGCAUAAGGUGUCCCAGCUGCAAGACACGAGAUCCUUGAAGUCAGAACAGAGAAUUAAAUGACUCAUCGAAGGCAUCAUAAUUGAGGUAUAGUUUGUUACCUGGUCCUUCUAUAUCAGCAAAAAUGGUUGAAAAAUCAUCAUCAUUAACACCCACUCUAAUGCCCUCGGGAGGAGUUUCGUCAAGAUUUUUCAGUUCCUUGGCAAGCUGCUUUAUAACAUUCGGAGGAAGAUUUUCAUUUGUCGCCUGCAUUGGUAUGCAAAGAUAACUGUUAUAUAAUAAUUUGUAAAAGGUUUCGUGCCCUGCUACGGGCAGUACAUUUUGCCCCCAAAAGCAUACACUUCUAUGCUAGGAGCUUGACAAAGGUUUCAAGAUCCAGCCAUGGACUUCUAGAAUAAAAAAGUUAACAAAACAAGUGAAAAUGUUAUGUUUGCGGAGCAACACAACUUCCUUAUAAUGCAAUUUAGAGGGUACAAGUAUUUGAUAGUCUCAAGCAAUAACAAUGGUUUAGCAACUGUAAUUCCCUAUAUAUGUAUAUCAAGAAAACAUUCCUAUGACCCUAGGCACAAUGUCUCCAAAAUUAAUUAAGGUUCCACAAGAAAUAUAGAGCGAACUCACCAUUGCCACACAAUCAAGAAUAAACCCUCAAAGAACUACUGUUAUUCUUCUGAUUGAAACAGGACUACACAAUUUCUUCAGGGAGGGAGACAACAUACAUCAGGUCUGCGAGAUAAUCUGCGAAACAAAGGAACUGUCAUCUUUAGAGUAAGAACAAGUUACUCUGGAUAAAUAUCUCUUUUUCCAGGUAUCAGAAAUUACUUGCAAGUUGCAAUGAACUAGAAAAAAAAGAAGCUUGCUUUAGCUACUUAUUACUCCAUGUUUAUGAGCAUUCUUAACUGUGAUAAGUGCUUUAAAGUGUUAACAUAUAUCGUAAAAUCAAUUCCGCAACAAGAAGAAACCCUCAUAUCAAGCAACAAACAAAAUGGAGGAUGACAUAUUAAAAAUUAUAGGGAAAUCAAUUAGUUAUGUCAUCUAAUCACUCUAAAAACAAAUCAAGCCAAUUUGGCAUCUCCGAUUCGAAGAAACACAAUUAAACCUAAUUAUAACACCUGUAAAACAAAAUCAAUAAUCUCGAGUCGCCAAGAAAAAGAAAACCCUAAAAAGAAAGAACUUUUAUAACCCACGAAUAGGAGAAACAAUCCAAUUAGGAACUUGUCAAAUUCUCAUUGCAACAAUUCACAAUCUUUAAGAGAAAGGGCCGAUACAACUAUAAGUAUACAACAAUUCAAUCAAAAAGAAACAAACUUUGAAAUCAAGAAUCAGAACCAAAGCUGUAAAAUCAAACUGAGAAACAAACAACCCAUCAUCUAAUUUCAUCAUCUUAUAAGGCAACCAUUAACAAGAAUCACAAAUUCUCAAUCAAUUUCAAGAUUCAUAACAAACAAGACAAGAUUAACAAAACCCACAUCAGAAAUCAAGAUUUAGUUCACUUCGAAACAAAUUUCAAGAACAAUUCAAUUCACAAGAUCUGAAAAUAAAUAACCAUGAAAAAACAAGAGCGCUUACUGGGUAAUCUUGAGUGGGGGAGAGCUGCAGUAGUUGUAUUUUGUAUGUAUAGAUUUGUUGUAGAUACAAAUAAUCCUCUCUUUAGUCGCCAACGCCACGAAUAAAUCUCCUCCCUUGAAAUGAUUGAUGGGAUUUAGAAAGAAACAAAAUAAAGAAGAUAGGUGCAACAACGUUACUAUUUUCAAAAUUUUCAAUGAACAUUAGCAUGACACAUAAGUCAUUUUAUACAAUUUUUUUGUAACGUAAUUUUUAUGUUAAUUUACGUUCUUAUAGUAAUUGUUCUGGGUACAUUAUUAUGUUAUCAGGCGUAUGAUUAUUCCAUAUCUUUUACCGCAUUUCCUAUUCUUCUUUGCUCGCUUCUCAGUUGUUUCUAUGAUUAUUAUUGACAAUCAUUAUAUAGAAAUUGGUCAAAAUUAUACAAAUUUUGACUAAUUUGUAAAAUAUUAUAUAAUUAAAAGUAAUUAUAAAAAUUCUAUCUGUGACAUUAUUAUAUUUUCAAUUUAUUAUAAAUAUAAAGGAGCAAAUUAAAAAUUUUGAUUAAAAUUAAGUCAAUUUUUAUUAUUUAAAAGGAAAAAUAUAAGUGCCGCUCGCAUGUAAAAUAAAAUCAAAAUCAGCGUAUUCUGCCAUUAAAAAAAAUGUAUAGAUUGCGACCACAAUCACUCAACCAAACUCUUGGGCUUGACAAGCAAAAACAAUGAAUGACUAGUAGCAAGGUAAAACAGAUUCCCUAAUCAAAACAUAAUGAUUGCUUUCGAUAUAUAAUAAUCCGAUAGCAAAACCCACGCACAUAUUUUCAUUGCGCUCCGCGCCUAUGACCAUGACGGGUGUGAAUGUGAUAUUGUCGAACAAAAUAAUCUGAAAUAUCAAUCAGACAUAAUUUCAUUUCAAAUUAUUGAAAUUUAUAAUAAAAUAACUACACCUACUUUCCAGUUUCCCAAAAAAAUUAAUAUAACAAUAACACUUAUUAAGUAUACCAUACAUAUUUUUCAAAAACUCUGUAAAAUAUACGGAGUACCUUUUAUUUACUAAUUUCAAAGCCGGGGAACUUAGAAAUACUGUAUCAUUUAAAAAUUGAUAUAAAUCGGCUUGGAAAUACUGUUCAAACUAGGACAUAUUCCCUUCCCCGUCCUUUUUGUUUUUUUAAUAAGCAUUCACCUCCGUUUCUUGAUUAGGUGCAGAGAAAGAAAAAGAAAGAAAAGAAACGAAAUUGAUUAUUUCCUAAUGUGCCACAAUUAUUUUUAAUUAGGAGAAGAAAGAUUAGGUAGGGAUUCGAUAUCCAGAAACUUGUCGGGCGAGGUGAAGUAUUAUAUUGUGAGAAACUUGAGCAGCGCUCGGUGACCGUUAUAAAUUAGGCCUCUGCUUCUUUCUGGCAUUUAAGUAGCCGUUAGCUGUCCCACAGACACUCUGUCACCAACGUUCCAAGCCUUCUUUUAUUUACUCGUCCUAUACGAAUUGUUAUUUGACAUGAUUUGAACCUGAAUCUGCUGCCUUUAUUUCUUGCUUCUACGGAUCUCAGCUCUCAAUGAUUGUGGGACACCAAUCAAUAGAGUUUUCAGAAAUAUGUCAAAUUACACUACCGACUGGUCUCUCUGCACCUGAAGAGAAUCCAAAGUUUACCAGUUUGCUACAAUUAUAAUAAAAGAUCAUAUAAACAUGUCUACAUUAAAAUGUUGUACAUCCUCAAGCUCAAACUACUUGGUUCUUUAAAGAUAGAUCCACUAAAGUAGAUGCAAAUGGCUGACAGCUGGAACAAUGUAAAGUAUAAUUAUUUUCAUAUAAGCAUACUGCAACUGAUUACGAGGGCCAAUAAAGCAGCAAGAGACCAAAACAUGUUUUUAGGAUGGACAAGAACAAAAUUAGUUCAGCAUAUGUGAUAUAUAUUGUUAUUUACCUUUGUCUAAGAAUAUGGUUAAACAUAAUUAGCAAAAGAAAAAUUAGAGUAGUUCAAUACUACUUCAUGAAGGCCGGUAGUUGGGAAAACAUUUAACAGAAAGAUAUGCCAGCAAAAUUAGCAUUAGGGAAUUCAAUAACAGGGCAAAAGAAUUGAAAUUCAACAUUUUUGUUUAAACACAGAAUUGUGCAAAAGUAGUUCAGACUUUUCAUUUCUUCUAAACGUGCUACCCUUGGGUUUGUAAUAAUUCAUAAGUGUCUAGAAAACUGAGUUUAAUCAAGUCGAUUUCAUUCCCCAGUAACUUUAGCGACUUUACUACACCAAACUUGAUACGGCAAGUAGAAACAAUCAAAAUCAACAAAAUUUGAUCUAAAUUUUAAUCUCAGGUAACUCUGCUGCUAACAGUCUGAUAAAGUGACCUCAGCUGCAUAUUCCAUUUCUCUAUAGCAGCAUAUUUUUUCAUUCCCUUCGACCUGGAUGUAGAUGUUCUAUAGUCAAUAUGGAUAUAUAAUGCACAAAAAGAGAAUGUACAAUCUAAAGAAGAAAGCUGACCUGUCACCACGCUCCAAAAGUUUAUUCACUUGAUCAAUAUGCCCUUGUAUUCGAUUAUCUAAUAUAAGUGACACCAACAGCUGUUCAACAUCUGCCUCUGGCACAUUCAGCUCCUGUGUGAUGAAGAAAAUUAAUCAAUACUACUUCUUGGGAUUUGAUAAAUAAUAUUCAAUUUUAUUUUCAUGCAUCCCCUUGGCUACUGAAAAAGACCUAAUAGAAAACACUUGGCUUGCAUCAAUAACAGUUUUAUCCACCAGACAUUUUGCGAAAAAUAUAUAUAAAAUACUGUAAAAAAUAAAUCAAAUAGCAAGUAUUUUGAAAUCAAAAUAUAAAAAAGAUUCAAUAGACGCAAGAGUUUAUAUAUAUUGCAGAUUACAAGAUCUUUUCAAUAGUCAUCUAGUCAAUGAUUACGAUGUCAUAACCAGAUCACAUAAGUAGGCGCCAGGGACAUACUUGCGUGUCGUGCAAAACGAACAGGGAUGUAAGCAAAUACAUUCAUUUUGUAUCAAAAAACUUAAUAAACAGAAAAAUGGCAGGACAUCAGAGUUGUGUCUAUUUAACACGUGAUGUAUUCAAAUCGUCCAACUUAAUUUAGCAUAUAUCCCAUAUUAGUGUUGUAUGUGUAUAUUCAUGUAUAUGUCCAGAUAAUGACAUCAAGUUUGUAGUAAACAUAAGAAUAUUGUGACAUUGUGAUAUAUAAAUGAUUGAUAGGAGCAGGACCUAGCUGAUUAGCAUAGCAAAAUAUUGAAAGAAGGUCUUCCCACCUUUGAAAUAAAAGGGAUUCUGAUCCUUGUGUAGGGUUUGAUGAGCUUAAGCAAGACUUGGGUUCUGAUAUUUUUCAAGAGGUCCUCAAUGUAAUUUCUAAUGAAAGGAUCAUCCAUAAUGGUUCUCCUGUUACUCUGCAAAGAACAAGUUUUCAAUAUGAACUCCCUUACAAAAGCAAAAAGUUCAAUACUUGGUAACUAAACAAACAUAAAUAAGCAAGUGUACCUUAACAAUUUUCUCAAAUUCCAAUAUUUCAUUUCUUUGAUAGGCCGCAAUUAAGUUUGUCAUAGCCAGUAUUUCAGGAUCAUUUUUGUAUCUGCAAAUACAUGGAAACAACUCAAUCACAAUGUAAAACAUAGGCAGAUAAUGCUGAUUAGUUGUAUAAAAACUAUGACAUACGGCUUGGCUUCUUGCCCAUCAAAAGGAUUAACUUGAGACUCCAUUAGCAUGUUGGCCAGCACCAGGUAUCUGUGGAGGUAUAAACAAGCUUCAAAAUCAGUAAAUUAAAAAAAGACUGAACACUUAGUUUCCGCCAAUAUUUCUUCUCAUUAAUACAAUGUAGGAGGACCUUACUGAAGCAUCACCAAUUUCCUUUAGUGCCAGAUUUCAGAAAGCAUAGAAAGUUUCAAUCCUUUGCACAAGGGGGGGGGGGUAAUAUUUUUCUUUUUGAUAUAAAAUUUUAAAUUUAAAAAGAAGCGCUAAUUUUAAUGACUAAAUACAUGUGUAGACAUACUUUAGGCAUUGGAUACGCCGUUGAUUCCCAGCUUCAUCAUAAUUCUUAAAAGCUUCGAAAAAAUCUGUGGCUGCUUCUGCCCACUGGCGCUCUGCCAUAUGCAUUUUGCCGCCACAUUCAUGAAUGAUGCCCAUUAUUCUUGGAUGUGGUAUUGCUGAUUUAAUUGCAAGUGCUUUUUGGUACAGUUGCUGUUAUAAAGUCAGCUUACUUAGAGGAUAUAGAUACACACACAACAAAACCUUACAGAUAAAAGAAAAGAUGUCCAAUCAUGCAGCAUACACAACAUCUAGUACAAUUACAGUUAUUAUAUAAACACACAGAUGAUAAUUAUAUCAUAGUAUAUUUAAAAUAAACCAAAAAAUAUAUGUAUCUGUCAUCAUCAAACAACACAUGUACUAGUUAUACCAUCCCAGUAAGAGUGCAUGGGGUAAUAACUAUAUUUUAUCUUUCCAUAACAGUACACAAAGAAGGAUCUUUUAAAUGGAUGUUCACAUUUCCUAUAUGGAGCUACUUAUGUUUUUCACCUGUUUUCAAGUAGAAGAUGUAUAUACUAAAUAGUAAAUAUCCACAUUCUUUUGAAAUUGAAUUUAUGUCAUAUGCCCUCGCAUUACAAGCAAUAUGAAAGCCUGACAGGUUAUCAUGUCUGGAAUAUGUUUCUAGGAGGAAUGAGAGAACCGUAGCCAAUAAAAUUAAAAAGGACCACAAAGACAAUAAAUAACAUAUCAACACCGUGCAAACAAAUAUACACCAACUAUGAAAAGACAAUGGCAUAUUUUAGAGUUAGACAGUGAACAGAUUGUAACCGUCAGUUCGUCCUAUUAGGAUGCAAAACAAACAUCCAAGUUGUAGGCAAUCAAUAUUUCUCACCUUGAGCUUCUUGUUAUUUUUGGUUUCAGUGUACAUUUGAAUCUCAAUAGCAUAUACUUCCAAAAGUUGGGUCCCUUUCUUUUGAUCAUCACUGCCAUCAGGCUUCUGACAAGACUUGUGGAGUUCCUUCAAAAUCUGUACAAUUUGCAACAUAGUUCAGGAAUAAUAAAAUCCAUUUCAAUGAAAGCCAAGGGAAGUAUGAAAGUCUAGUCUUUACCUUGUUCAUUCUACCAUACUCGCCCAUGUCGAACCAAAUUUUGCAUAGCUUGAGAUUUGUCUUGAACCACAACCUCUGCAUAGACAGAAAAUAUAUAGUGAUAUCCGUAAAAAUGUUCAAUUCAGUGUUAACAGUAUAUAUAGAUAGGCUCCAACCUCAUUUUUAGCCUCUUCAAGAGACCUCAAAGUGGUCUCAUAGAACUCCUUCAGAAGCCCAAAAUUCUGGCUAGCUGACCCGGAAACAAAAUCCAUGAUAUUGUUUAUACACUUUUCACUAUAGUUCCUUGUCACAGCUGAUUUUAUGUAGGUCAACAUCACCCUAUAGGCUUCCAUCAUCUCUUUAUAACUCCCAAGACGAUAAUGAAGUUUGACAGUCUGUUUGAGAGCUUUAAAUCCCCUGCAGAAGCGGAAGAGAUGAAUCAUAUACAAUGUGAUAAUAUUAUUCCCACAUUGAAGCAACCAAAGUAAAAAGUUACUUUGUACAUGAGAAAAAUGAUAAACGAGCAACAACUGCUACACAUCGCAAUUAUAUAGUCUUUGCAUGAAAUACAUCUAUGAGAACAUUUAACAUACAAACUGAAAUCCAUCAUCACAACCUAUUAUCUAGCAGAAAUAACACAAUUAAAUGCAACAUAUAAUUCAAGUUCACUUUAACAAAUCAACACUCGGAAAUUUCCUAUAUUCACAGGUGGGUUGGACAUAAGUAACAUGUUAAAAGAAAAUAGGAAAUGAAAUUCCAAACUCAAUAAGCUUACCAUUCUGCCUUUUCUGGUUCCAUCUCAACUACCUCAGCAAAACCAGCAAGGGCACCCUCCGGAUCAGUCUCAACCAAACCUGCCAAGAUUUUAUGACUAGUCAAUUUCAGAGGUUCGUACAUGCUGAACAUACAUAGCAUGCCAUGUACACUAUACAGUGCAUUGACGGUAGCACGAACAUCAAAUAGAUUAAAUCUAAUCUUCUAUAAGGUGUCAUAUAAAUUUUAAAAGUCACUUCAAACAGUCGAAGGUGUAUUCAUAUUAGAUAUAAGUUACUUCGAAGCUCAGAAUGAAGGUGACAGCGUUACUUUGAUGUGUCGUGUGAAUGCCUCUACGAUUCAAACUAAGAUGAACAACAUUCAAAUUGAACCCAUAUAACUUGAAUCAGCUCUUUGCAUGUCAAUAUAAUUGUAUUAAUUAGUGUUUCAAGGUCUCUUUAGUCUGCUAUCUAUUUUUUUUCCAUCUCCAGCCUUUUCCCUUAAUGUGUCAGUUAAUUCUUGCAUAAAUUUCAUAAGUAGAAAACAUCUUUGUAGGAUUAAAAUAAAAGCCGAAUACAGACCAGAUUCUAAACAUUGUAAUAAAGAUCUACACUGUAUAUACUCCAAUAGUCCACUACUAACUCAAAAGGUGGUACAAUAAUGUUUUCUCAUGUUGUGCCAGUUAACUUACUACUGAUACUGAAAGAAUGGUCAACUGUCAACUGAAUUCCCUACAUGGCACAGUGUGUCAAUUCUUUAUCAUAAAUUAAUCGUGUUCCUCGUCAAUGCUCUAGCCGUUAAUAGAUCUUUUAUUCUGUCUUUUUCCUUUUCUAGAUCUAAUUUAAUCUGAAAGUCCAAUUUUUCAUCUCUCAAAAUUUGCCAGACUGAAUGAUGUUCGCUUAUUUAAAUAUCACAUCUAUGCACUUGAUGCCUGUGUUGCUCUGACGGGGUACGAAGUGUGAGACAUGACACAUAUUCGAGGGUCGGACUCUAAAAAUCUGAAAAUUGGGCGCACAGGGGGACAUUGUCCUCUUUUUGGACAAGUUCGGAGACACAACAUAAAACAUUAAUUAACAAGUAUGCUAAAUUAGAUACCAUAACAAAACGUUUCAUGCAAAUUCAUAUUAAACACAAUUUUGCAAAUUAAGGAUAUUAUCUACUUGUAUUUUUACUUUUGCUUCUUUCGCGAUCAAUUUUUUGGUUUGCAUUGUAAGUUCAACUUAUAUGUGGUAUUUAAGUUAAUCAAGGUGUCCCCAUGUUAGUCAGAAUAUCCGAUAAGGAUUAAGUAUCGUGUCCGGGUGUCCAAGUGUCGGACACGGGUAUGGCUACCCAAACUGAAGAGUCGGAGUAAAAUAGCAUGACGCACGGCCCCAAAACUCCACGCCACUGCCUUUACAUCAAGCUUUGGUCACACUUUGUGUCACUUAGCACACAAGCAAGCGCAUUAGCUCUCUUCCAAAAAGUAUAUUUAUAACAAGUUAACAACUGAUUUACAAGAUCCUAGGUUAAAGAAUAUCUUCAUCGACGAAAAAUGGAUAACAAAGAUAGGCAGCAGAUUAUUGAGGUGAAUAAUGCCAAAUAUCAAAUAGAAAAACAAUAAAUUAGCUUGCACAAAAUUGAACAUAUAUCGUACCUAAGCUUCUAUUGGCAAAGAAAAGUAUUUUAAUACAGAAGAAUACAUUUACUCCAUAAUACAGUAGACUAUAAAUAUACAUCCACAACUGUAAUUACUCCCACUGUCCACAGCUCUAUAUUAUCCAGAAACUAAAAAAAAACUUAAAAAGUUAUACGGACAAAAUUCUAAAACUGCAUAAAACAUACACUUAUCCUAUAACAAUCGAAGAGGAAACUUUAAAAAACUACAAAUCCUACAACUAAACGAAAAUAAAUGGAGGAGCAAUAAAAAAAAAGGUAUAUCAUAGCCAAAUUUGGCAAGGGCCAGGCCUAUUCCCCACUGCCCCUAACUCCAUCAAUGAGGUAAAAUUACAAUCUGAGUAUUGCCAGUGCGAUUACUAGUAUUACUUAAAUAAUAUCCGGUCAUAAAUAUUUACGUGAGCAUCAAUUUCAGAUCAUAACUUAACUUGGAUCCUUUCCGGCAUCUGGUAGUAAAAUUUCUUUUCCGAAGUAUCAGUUGUACUCAUCACAUCUAUACUAUCAAAUUAGCAGUAACUCGAUAUUUCUGGCAAAAACAGCAAGAUAGGUCCAAACAAGCAUACCGAAGCAUAUAUCGUGAAAGACGGUGUACCUUUGGAAUUGUAGUACUGAUUCUCAAUAUCAACAUCCUGCUCUUCAGCCUCCUCUUCGGAGUAUUCAAAUCCAUAAUCCUCCAUAUCAGCAUCUAAAAACAUAAAACAAAAACAUAAAAUCUUAAAUCAUUACUUUACCGCGUCAAAAGAAACCGAUGCACAUACACAACUUGAAAUAAUACAUAUAGCGCAAACACAAUCGUAGAUGUUAAUUUGUUGCUUAAAGCAGAUUAAACCGAGAUUAGUAACUCGAACGAAAAAAAACCGUAAUGAGAUUUAUCGAUUUGGUUAACCUGAGCCCAUGAUUAGCGACGAAGAUUGGAGACAGAGAGUUGCGGAUCCUGCUCGGAUUUCAAAUUAGGGUUUUGCUUUGUGAAGGUACUGAUGAUUAGAUGACUGGUUUCUGAUGAUAUAUGUAUCGUCUCGUGUACUGUAUCUAUACAAGUAUCUGUAUGUUUUUUCCUUUUCCUUUUCUUUUUUGUAUAGGCAAUUAAGAAAAAAGGACCCCAAUAACACAAUUUUGGAGUUUAAUGCCCUGAAUAACAAAUUUUAUAAAAAUGGCCUCAUCUGACCAGUAAAGACGCUUGGCUAUUAGCGUUUAAUGUAAAGGAGCAACGCUAAUUCGUUUAGCGUUUUUGAAGUACACACCAGGGUCUAGUCUUUCAUUUAUGUUCGACGGUCAAAGAGGGCUAAGAAGGUUCCUGACUGUGGUACUGGUUCACAUAGGGGAUGAUGAUAUUUGUCGGUUUUUGAUGACAUUCUAGUUAUAGGAUGCUGAACUUGUGAUAUAUGAUAGCACGGAUCUUGUAAAUAUUUUAAUUUCAUGUCGUAUGUUUAUGUUUUAGUAUAGCGUUAAAGUUUUAAUAAUUACAUUGGCCGACGGUUAGGGUUUAGGAUCGAGGGUGUAGGGCCGGUAGGCCCUACUCCCUCGAGCCUAAACCCUAAUUAAGCGAGGCUGAAGGGCCGAAGGCCCUGAAGCCGAGACGUCGGCGGAAUGAUAAUUUUAUAACCGUUAACAUUUAGGGUUUAGGUUUGGGUUUUAGAAAGAUUAAUUCAUACUGUAUAUAAAUUGGCCGACGGUUAGGGUUUAGGAUUGAGGGUGUAGGGCCGGUAGGCCCUACUCCCUCGAGCCUAAACACUAAUUAAGCGAGGCUAAAGGGCCGAAGGCCCUGAAGCCGAGACGCCGGCGAAAUAAAUUAAUUUACAAUCAUUAAUUUUUAGGUUUAGUUUUGGGUUGCAGAAUGAUUAAUUUGUACUGUAAAUUAAAUUUGCCCUAAACACUCGAGACUAAACCCUAAUUAAUUGGAGUAACUAGUCUAAUAAAAAUGUGAGACCAAGUAAUAUUUUUGAUGUUUGAACGAAAGUUUGUACAAUUGGUCUUGGCAAAUUGAAAAAGCCCAUCACUAAAAGCCCAACAAAAUUGAAGUGUGGAAGUUUGAGAAAAAAAUUUAAAAACGCUGAACGAAGUGGCGUUUUAGUGUAAAUUCAAUAAUAAACAAAUAGAAACGAUAGAUGAAGCAGCGUCUCUUGCUAAACUAAAACAAAGACGCCAAGUGAAGUACCGUUUUCCAGUUUUAAAAUAUAAAAAAAUGAGCUAAACGCUACACGAUGUAGCGUUUUUGUUUUUUUAACAGAAACGCUACACCAGCAGCGUCUCUAUUUGUCAUUGAGGGCCAUUUUUCGGGUAUUUGAUAUUUGAGGCAUUUUCACCCUAAAUUUGGUUAUUUGGGGCCGAAACCCAAUUAAUUUCCUAUUCGUUUAUUUUAAUCGCAAUUUUUUUAUGUUUUGGCUUCCCUUCCGGUAAUGUCAUAUAUUUUGGAAGAAAAGACAUAUUUAAACGACAUUUGGAACGAAUAAGUAAAGAAAUAAUUUUUUUCAAAACAGAAUAAGUAAAAAAAUAAUAAUUAGAACAAAAAUUAUCGAUAUUAUCUUAUUUUGGAAGCUAAUUAGUUUGGAAUAACGAUUUUUAUUACUACCUCUAUCCCGUUUAUUUUAUACAGUUUCUUUGUAAAGCAUCUCACUAGUCAUAUACAUUUUCAAACUAGUAAAAUUUUAUAAUAUAUAUAAAAAUUUAGACACCUUUCUACUUUUUUCCACUACUUUCACUUUAUACAUUAUAUAUAAGUGGUCCCACCGCAUCUUGGAUAAUUGUCAAUUUAUUAGUGGAAAAAACUGUGUCUUGGAUAAUUUUUUUGAGAAAAUAAUGGUAUUGCAGGUGAAAGUUGCAAAAUGCAUAUGAACAACGUCAUUUUGAACAAAACUCAAGUUAAUUGAACUUUGUUCACUAAAACAACCCAAUUUUGGAAAAAAAAAUGUUUUGUUUUGUGAACUUGAAUCGAGUUUAAUGAAUGUUCGAUUCAAGUUUUGCUCGUUUAAUUAGAAUUGAGCCGAGUUAAGCUCAAACUCGUCUAAAUGGAUUUUGUUUCGAUAAAUUUUGUAUAUAUUUUCAAAAUUUAAAAAAUAUAAAAUUUUCAAAUAUUUUAAAAUAAAAUUUUUAAAUUAUCAUCACUAAUGAAAACUUGACAUGAAAGAUGAAAUGAUACACAAUGCAAUGCAAGUACACGUGUGUAUCUAACUUGCGGUUGGAAUGUAAAUGUACGAAUACAAUGAUUUUUAUAUAUACUGAUCUGGUAUACUCAAUUUUAAAUUAUAUUAUAUUAUUUGCACUGGUAUUGGUGAUUUUAUCAUAAGGUGAUACUUAAAUGAAUAUAAGUUAUAGUACAUUUUAUAAAUGAAAAUUGACCGAAUAAACAUUUUAUGUGAUUUAUUUAUGAAAAGCUCCACUCGAAUUGUGUAUGAACAAACUUAUGUUCGCCUCCUUAACAAACGAGUCGGAACAUCACAUUUUGUCCGAUUGAAAAACUUAGAUUGGCUCAACUCAUUUGAGAUCAGAGUUAAAACCGACUCUGUUCAAGCAAAACUAUAUCCAUUUGCUGCAAAGGCGUUCAAGGCCGUAGUUACAUUAUAUCAUCCAAAUUCCUAUCCAUGUCAAUGAGCUCCCUUGAAAGACCAAAAAUAACCCACUGGACACACUCUUUUCUUUUUGGCUUAAUAAUAUGCAAGGUGGGUACCCUGUCACAAUUUAUCUGUUCUUAUCCUCACUUCUUAAAAUAAAUAUUAUAAUCAUAUUUUCGUCAAAGUGAGAUAUUUUGAUCACAUAUUUGAAAAGAUUGGGUGACAAACCCUGGUGUUGAUGACAACAUUUCAUAUAUUUAGCAAAGAAAAGAAAAUGUAAUACAUCUUCAUGGUCAAAAUCAUAAAUAAUACAAGAAAGUUAAAGAGCCAGAUUACAGCUUAUGAGCUUAACAUUCAACAAUGGACCCCAAGGACAACUAUCAAGACAAAUAGAAAGACGCAUAUCUUUGUUUUACAAAAUUUAAUCUGCAUCCAUUUCUUCAAGUGCCGCCUGUGCUGCUGCCUUGGCUUCUUCUAAAAGCUCAUCUGGAACCUAAAUUAUAAAAAAGCGUAUAAAAAAUCUACACAAGACACCAAUCCAAUCAAAUUGCAACACAAAAAGUAAUUAAUAUGACUUGAUCAUCAUGUAGACAGAAAUGAAAGAAAUCAUAAUCCACCUUAGUGCUAUGCCAGUCAUAAAUGUCGAACAUUUCUACCAGAAAAUAAGCCUAAGACUUUCUUGGACUUGCAAAUUAGGGUCCUUACAAUAAAUAACCUAAUAUUUCAGCCCCUUUUACACAAACAUCAUUAUACUGAUUUACUUUGUCUCCACCUUCGUUGAUGCACUGAAUGAUGUUGACAACGUAAAUCAUAUUAUAAGCAAGGUUCUAAAGAUCAGCUCAGGCGCUAGGCGAAGAUUAAUCCAGAAGCAUUAAUUGGAGCAUUAAAGAUAUGCAUCAUAUUGCAUUUUAAUAUAUUCAAAAAGAUUAUAACCAAAACAUUUGAAUUAAAUUAACCUGCCCAACUACAUUGGUUUAAUCUAGCAACUAAUUCGUAUUAUUUUAGAAAAUAUUACUACGAACACAAGGUACAGAGGAUAACAAGAAGUUGAAAAUGUACCUUCUGAUGCUGGCGUUUUGAUUCAUCACAAACCCAACUCAUUUCUAAUUCAAAGGCCUUGUCUUUGGCCUCAUCAUGUACUCCAUAAAUUCUGCUCAACCGCAUCAGAAAUAACCAAAACUCAAAAAUCAGAAACUAGAAAGACAAAAAAAAAAAACCUUUAAAUUAGUAUGAAAACAUGAGAUCAAAUUUGCCUUUUUUUUAGAUACAAAAUUUAUAGAAGAAAUUUUAACAUACACAUCUAUGAUCUAUAUGAUUCCAACACUGAAAAGAAACUUACAUUUUAGCCACUUCAAUGAUGCCUUGUCGGCAGGUCAUUUCAGAUAACUUCAAUUUUUCGAUUUCUCUGUGGAAUAAGUAUAAUUUAUGGGAUACGUAAGAAAAUUAUAACUCGCCGAAGCAUAUAUAAAACCAAGACGAGCUUGCAAUAAGAUGCAAUAUCUGAACCCCAAACUCCAAAGAAUUCUUCAGCAAGAUAUAGAGCUUGUUUGUGUCUGGGCUUAAAGCUUGGGCUUUAAGCCAUUUUCGACUUUAAGCUGAAAAAUGUCUGUUUGUGUAAUAAGCCAGAAGUAUAAAGCUAGAAAUAAGCCAGAAACUGACUUAAAACCAGAAGUCGGUUUGAGGUACUUUUUUCAGUGACUUAAUUUUUUUAUAUCUUUUUUUGAUAAAAAUUAUACAUAAGACAUAAGUUACCCAUAAAUCAUUUUUAUUUUUAUAUUUAUAUUUUAAUAACUCACAAGUCACUAAUAAGUCAAAAUUACCAAACAAACAUUUUAAACUUCCAGCUUAUCACAUAAAUCACGUUAAGUCAUAAGUCACGUUAUGUCAUAAAUCAUAAGCUCAGCCGAACGGGCUCAUAGAGAGACAGUCAAUGGCUUUAGAAAUGGUGGAGACACUUCUACAUACUUCUCUAAACUUUUAGAACAAAAGCAACACUAUAGUGGAUUCAGAAAAAACAUAUAUUUUCCACAUUCUACAAGGUAUGGACAAUCACAAAAAAAAAAUGAAAACAUCGACUACAAAGCCAGUGUAGACCAUGAUGCUGACAAUCAUACUUCAGCAGGCUAAGCAGGUAAGCAAUAGCCUAUAGUUGGUAUAAGGGAAACUGCUAGGUGCUAAUAUCAAAGUGCAGUAGAGGAUUCAGCUGAAGGGCCAUUUAAAAACAUAUGAGGCUAAGUUGCCUAUGCUGUGUAUGGAAAGGAUCUUACCCAAGUAAGGGACUAAGGGCAGAUAAAACGGCUUAAAAAUUUCAAAUUAUCACAUUAAGCUGAAAAUGGUUCAGGAUUUGGGUGAUUAAAUGAGAUUUUUGGGGUCCGUCUACUGUUUAAGCAACCAUUUUUUCAUGUUUUUCUUUAUUCACAAGGAAAUCAAUUUUAGAUAUUAACUUCCUCUUCAUAUGAUACAAAAGCAUUAAUAUACACAUUCCUUUUAAUAUCUCAUAACUGCAUCCAAGACCUCUUCAACAUAACAGACAGACAGGCACUUCAUGAAACAAGUUCACAAAUUAACACAUGAUAAUUGUUUUAAACUCGUACUUAAAAAAAAUUGUUGAAAAGACAAAAGCCCGACUCUUAGUUAAAAUAGUAGUCGGUAGAUGCAUGUUUUAUUUCAUAUUCUUGACACAGCAGAUAGGAGACUAGUUAGUAUUAGGUUGUGUGAUACUCACAACAAUGUAACGAGGAUUACCAAGUACAUUGUACAAGCCAAUCUCCAUACAUUAAUAACUAGAUGCCUUGUAACCAUGCUUAUUAAGUCGACAAGUCGAGCCUCGGCGCCCGGACACCUUGGAAUCGACUAGUCGACAAGUCGCCCGACUAGUCGAAAUAAGUCGACAAAUCGUGAUUUCAUUUUAUAUAUAUAUAUAUAUAUAUAUAUAUAUAUAUAUAUAUAUAUUUAUAUUUAUAUAUAUUUAUUUAGUAAAGAUUAUAUAAUAUAGAUAAAAAUUAAUUAUUUCAUAUUUCAAAUAAAAAUAAGAGACAUAAGUUCACAUAAAAAGUAAGGGACAACAAGUGUAUUAGAGGCGGCUGUGUAUGGUGUUUGUUCAACUUCUUCAUCAUAGUCCCUGCACAAAUUUAGGACAGGACAUUGUUAGUUGGAAAACAGAAUACUUGGAAACAGAGUAAUAAGGAAACAGGAAACAGAGUAAUAAAAUAUGCAGAAGAAAUAGAGCAACCCCCUUAUCAAUUGCAAAAGAUCAUAUUAAAAACAAGUGAAAAUCUUUUUAUUGAAUAUGAAUAAAAAUUAAUUAAAAAUAAUUAUUAAAUAUUUUUAAUUAAAAAAACAGGAUAGAAAAAAUAAAUAUCAAUAUUUUUUAAGUAAAAUAAAACUAGAAUGUAUCUUUUUUAAAUAAAAGAUAGAAAAAAUAAAUUAUAAAUAUGAAUAAAAUUUAUUUAAUAUUGAAUAAAAAAUAAAUUAAAACGGUUUUUAUAAAUAAAACUAAAUAAAAUAAAUAAAUAUCAAAAGUUUUUAAGUAAAAUAAAUAUACAAUGUAAUUUUUAAAAUAAAAAGAAAAAAUAAAUUAUAAAUAAAAAUAAAAAAUAAUUAAUAUUAAUACAAUUUGAAUAAAAGUAAAAUGCAGAAUUAAUUUUUAAAAGUAAAAAAUUCAAAAUGAAUGUUAAAAACUACUUAUAUAGGAUACGUGUCUAGUAACACUGCUAGCCACGUACACAACCACAAAAAGCAACAAUAUAUACGCACAACAGUGUGUGUAUAUCAAGCCAUCGGAGUCGGGCCAAAUAAAAGUAAAAAAAAAAGAAAAGGAGAUGAAGAGAGAGGAGAAAAGAAAGAGAUGAAAGAGAGGAGAGAGGCGAAAGAGAUGGAAAAGAGAGAACUUACCGGAAAAGAGAGCUCCGCCGGAUGAGUUCUGCUUGACAACUCCGGUGAUGUUUCUAGUCCCAAAUCCAGUGUAAGUAUAGUUUGAAAAACCCUAACGGGUCGGGUAAAAUUUGAUUGGACCGGGUCGAUACCGGGUCGGGUCGGGUUUUACCCAUGGACGACUUAUAUUCCCAGUCGCUACUCGCCUUGUUUUCUCAGGCGACUUUACGACUAGUCGUCGACUAAUCGGCGACUCAAUAACCAUGCUUGUAACAUUGAAAUUUCUUCCAGAAAUCAUCCACAAUAAUAUCUAAAUAACUCAAGCAUCCUCAUCAAUCUGGGUAAAACUAAUAAAAUAAAUCGAUUCAACUGCAUGUAACUGGUUGCCGUACAGUGAUUAGAUAAAACCAAAAAAUUCAACGACAAUCACUUCUUAUAAUAUACUUUACCCAGACAAAAAUGUAAUCAUGGGUUAAUAGAUGCACAGAAGCUUGUAUUAAUAUCUAAAUAACUCAAGCAUCCUCGUAACUCUGGGUAAAACUAAGAAAAUAAAUCGAUUCAACUGCAAGCAACUGGUUGCCAUACGGUGAUUAGAUAAAACCAAAAAAUUCAACGACAAUCACUUCUUAAUAUACUUUACCCAGACAAAAAUGUAAUCAUGGGUUAAUAAAUGCACAGAAGCUUGUAUUGAAUCACCUUAAGUAAUAAAAAAAUAGGAACAACAACUUACGUCUUGGCAGCCUGCCUGCCUUUUCCAAUAGCAGCACCAUAGUAUUUCUGUAACAAAUGCCAGAAAUAAAAAGAAAAUAAAAUAAAUACAACGCAAAAUAUUAUUAAAAAUUGAUGUGAACAAUCGGCGCUCUAGUAAAUUUAAGCUGGCGAGUACAACAGAGAACUGCUCACCAGUCACCUCUAAACUACUGAUCUUAAUUCUUAUUCAAAUAUUACAAAACGACACCCAACUUACAUAAGAAACUCCUGAAGGUUCAAUCAUGUAUAGUUGUGGUCCAUCUCUGUCAUAACCACCAAGAAUCACUCCACAGCCAAAUGGCCUGCAAUAGCAUAUGUUAGUGUUUCACAUACCGAAAAAUUAAACAAUUAAGGAAACUCACAAUCUGGACUAACCUGAGCCACCAAUAAAGUGUACACAGAUGCACAUAACUAGCAACACGCUCGCACAAUUCUUUCACCGGAAUUUGGUCACCAUACAAGCUGCAAAACCAACUCAAAAUAUAUUAACCUGGGCAAUAUUGCUCCAUAUGUAAUUCAAAUUUAAUGGAAGUCGCCUAAUUUAAAUAUAAGUGUCGCGUCAUUUUUGAUCAACCAAAUAUGAUAAUCAUUUAUAUAAAAAAUCUUAAAAACUUCACACAUACUUAUGUAUUAUGAGUUUAUCUAAGAACGAAUUAUUGUUUCCAAGAAACAAUGCAUAUAUAUAUUUCACCUAAUGCAUAUAAUAUUUGAACAGAAUCCAUUUUUUUUUUUUUUUGAAUAAGCAAUACAUUACUGACCGACUAAACGAAAAUUACCAAAAAUAUAAGCAAAUGAUAAAUCUGCAUAAAGGUCCGGGUGCAAAUAAAUAUAAAAGAAACAGCGGUUACACUUGAAUUUGGGUGGUUGUGUAUGCUUCUGCAGAUAAAGGUAGUUCUUAAAUAAAGGUAAAGUAAUGCCGCUAUGUCUGCAUCUUGGUUAACCAGUAAAACACAAAAUUCACAUAUAAGUUCUGUGACACAAAUGUGUGAGCAAUAAAAAUACCUUUCAUAGUUGUUAGCCUCAGACUUGGCUCGUGCAACGAUUUGUCUCCCAUCUGCGGCUAAUCCUGCAACAGCCUGCAAAUAAAUGAACACCAAAAAGAAACAACUAAAUCGAAGCACCGACAAUUUUUUUUACUAAAACUAGUUGGAGUAGAUCAAAGAAAUUGCAUACAAGUAUGCAGUUAUUGCAACAACAAAGAGACAAAACUAAAACAAUAGAUUUAAUAGUAAAAAAGUAAAAUAUAAUGCACAGGUAUUCUGCAAAAAUCUGAAGGAAAUUAAAACGAAUGAGUGGGGGUAAAUCAGAGGGUUAGACAAGAACAUGUACAGGCUUGUGCUCAAAUGAAAGCUGAAAAAUUCAUGACAGCUAUCAAUUAACAAUAACACAAUGGUUAUAGCGAAUUACUGAAUUAUACUACUCCUACGCUUCUCACAUGUCCCUUUGACAUUCUGCAAAUAAUUUAUGGUGCAUAAGAAAGAUACUUCUAUAAAUUAUUUUACAAACUUUCAUGUUUGCAGUAAAAGUUUCUUACUCAAAUAUUUAUUCAAAUUAGAAAAAAAAAUCCUAAAAAUAAAUAUAUUUUGGAAGUAUAUUUUUCAUGCACCAUCAGAUACGUAUACCAAAAGCCAAAAGGAUGUGUAGAAGGGGGCAAAGGGAGUAAUAUGAUCUUGAAUCUUACUACAACUAAUAAUUGUUGCACCGUAUAUGGUGAUUUGGUUUCUAGGGUAAUCUGGGAUAACAAUAUUUUAGUGUAGCACAGCCUAUAUGUGUACACAGACACACACACUCACACACAGAUAUACAUAUAUAAGCAGGGCUGCAGGUGGGACAUACAUCAGUUAACGGUUCUUUAUAUCUUAGAUUCUGGUAAAGGGUAGCCUGAUAUUAAUUAUUAGAAGAUGGAAGAAGGAAACUUUAGAAGAUAGCUAAACAAAACAAAACAGGUAAUGUCCAAAUCAGCAGAAUCUAAUAAACAAUCUGUAUUUUCCGAUGACCAUAUCACAUGCCACACCUUUCAUUAAACUUCGACUAAUUUAAAUCCCUAAACAAAUACUAUAUUUGACCAUGAUAUGUAUCAUCAUCCUUUAAAAGCCCUCCCCCUUUCAACAAGCACCUUGAUAUUUAUCAUUACCUUGUAAAAUGAAUCACAACCCACAUAUGGAUCAUCAUCAACCCCAGAAGUCAGAACAUCAAUUGUACGUGUCUUGAUUACGUGAAGUUACAAAAUUCUACGCUAGCAAUUUGCAGCCACAUUUAUGACACAGCUACUACGAAACAUCCACUUUGCCUUUGUUGUACCUCUUAUCUGUGUUUAAACUUUAUCUGAAGUCAACUAGUGCUAUAGUUUGACAAAAAGAGCUAAACUCGGUUAUAACUCAAAACUUGUAUCCCGAAUUAGCGAUGACAAAUGGAAUGGAAAGACAGAAUGUGUCUCUUCAACAAUUGCAAACUAAGUCUGGUGUGCAAAGCUCAAGAGUCUAUUACUCUUUAAGUACGGAAUGCUAACUAAUUCCCAAGUACAUCAAUAAUAAACAAAUUAUACUUUAUCAAACGACUUAAGUUAAAAUCUAGGGACAAUACAGCUUUCCAUAACUGUUUUUAAAAGUUCACUAUAGUUAUAUGCAAAGUAACUGCACAGGACGAGGUUAAAUUCAUCAUCGGUACAUAUACUACACAAACCUUAAAAACAAUACCUCGCUUCUUAACAACCAUAGGCUGAGCACACGUAUUUUUCAUUUAUCAUAAAUUAUAAAAAUGCCUAAUAUAUCCUGUCUCGUAAACACUGACAUAUAUAUUCACAAUUACAUAUAUAUUCACAAUUACCGCACUUCUAAAUUCUUAAUACACUCAAUUACAGUUGAAAGAAUAUACAAGUAAUUACCAUCCCGGAAUGGCGAUGAACAGAAUGAAUUCUCCGAUUCGAUCCCGGUAACAUCAUCUUCGAAGCAAUCAGCUUCUCAACUCCCUAACAAAUCAAUCAAAAUCAGCAAUCAAAAAAUAAAACCCUAAGAAACAAAAUUAGAGAUACAAUAGAGAGAGGAGAGAGGAGAGUGUACCAUAACGACGCCGUCUUUGCAUUUGAUAGCAACGACGGUGCCACUGUUGUCGACGGCUUUAGCAGCAUACUCGAUCUGAAAAACACGGCCAUCCGGCGAGAAAGUCGUCACCGAUAAGUCGUAACCUGUUCCGAUGCUACUCAUUUUUCAAGUUUAUGUUGGAAAUACUCUCUCUCUCUCUGUCUCUCUGCGAGAGUAUUGUGUGUGCUUAUUUAAAUCGAGCGAGAGAGGCUCUUCUUUACUUUGGUAACAAGACACCCAAACCCCAGUCUGCCAACUUUACCGUUUUACCCCUUAAAACUAAGGGAAAACACGGUUAUAUCCCCAGGCCACGACCCCCUAUGAUGAACUUUUUUAUUUUAUAUUGUCAGAUUGAUGAUGAACAUUACUUAAUUUAUUUAACCGUAAGCUUUCGAAUAACCAGAUCUUUGAUAGAAUGUUCGGAUAAAAAUUAAUAAAAAUUUAAUAGGGAAUAUUAAUUUUAUUAUUAUUUUAGAGGACAAUAUUAAUAUACUUAUCAUAAAUGUAAUACUAAAAUGUAAGUUUUUUAAUAUUAACAUCUUUUAGUUAAAAUAACUAACGAGUUUAUAUCUCGUUCAAUAAUAUUAUAAGUUUCAAGAGAUUAGUGGAUUUACUCAUGUUAGAGAUGUAGGAGACUGUAAUUUCAUUUGAUUCGAGCAGUUAAACAUUUGGCCACUGUAAUUUCAAUUGUACUGCAGUUCAAGAUAUUUUUGAACAAAUUACAUAGUGGGUGUUUGGGAACGUAGCUUCUGAGCUUAAAAGCUCACAAGCCCACUUUCUUUUUCUUUGCGUCCGUUUGGCAAAUUGAAAGAAGUGCUUAUUUAAACUAAAAGAAGCUCAAUAAAUAAGCUAGAAAACCUAACUUAUUGCUGAGGCUCGGCUUCUGCUUCUUUUCUCCAUUCCCGGUGUUCAGUGAUAGACAAGCAUCAAUUGAUAUGAUCUUCAUCUCCCAUGUGUUGCUGCAGAUGAAAGAAUAUUUUCCUUUUUUGGUGCUUCAAUGUUCUGAUAAAAUUUAGUAUUUUUAAAAUAUUUCAUGUAUUAAAAAUAAAAGAUCUUUUAUUAUUAUAAUUUAUUUUUUAAAAGAAACAAAUUAUUAUAUUACAAAAUUACUAAAUUAUACCAACUUAUAAAUUAAGUUAUCCAAACACUUAAAAAACUUAUAAGUCACGAUAUCCAAACACUUAUAGCAGCUUAUAAGUCCAAACCAACUUAUCAUUUUUAAUCCACUUCUUUACUUUAAGUAAUAAGUCACUUCUUUUAAGCUCAGCCAAACGGCCCCAUAAAUACAAUAAGCCUUGAAGUUCCAAGAGCCUCCCUGGCUUAUGUUACACUGUUUCUUCAGGAACUACAAAUCACAGCAUACAUAUUGACCUUUGCAAGAGAUUGAUAGUAGUACAAAAAAGUGAUUUAGUAAACAAGCUGGGCAUCAAAUUCUGCAAUAUCAACGGAACCAGAGUCGAUGGGUUUCAUGAGAUAUGCAGCCAAGAGCUCAGAAGCCAGUGCUGCAAUAAGUGGAAUUCUUUUCAAGUUCUUCACAAAAUCAAUGUCAUCGGUUUCACCAAUUGCCAGAAGUUUUGUGUUGAUCUCCACCAUCCUAUCCAACUUCUUCUUGAAUUCGGGAUUCUCAACAUCAAGAACAGCCGGGAAAAUCCUUGCAGUGGUGCGAUUAGUCUGCAGGAACACAAAGAUUCGAUGUAAUCACACCUCAGGAUGUUAUUUUCAGUUGUCUUGUAGUUUUCAGGUUGAAAAUAUAUAUACAAGGAACUUGCGAUAAAAUUUAAGCUACCUCAUUAGGUUAGAAGCAUACAAAUUGUAGCAACUAAGUUUUAAAGUAGACAAACUGAAUAUAAUAUAUGAUUUACAAGAAUUCCAUAUCAAGUUUUAAGAUUCUCAAGAUCAGGCUGGGCAUAUAAAUUAUUGUCACAAAACUAAAAUGCUACCUCAAUGAUGACAUGCAUGUCAAAUUCUUUCGCGUCGAGUCCAAUGCCUUCAUAAAAGGAAGAUCUCUGGCAAUCAUUCAGAUACAUUGUCACGUAAACCUGCAUCCACAAUUUUUUUAAUUAACGACGAGAAACUAAGAAAAGGUACUACUUUCUAGAUAACUGCAGGGCACAGAAUACUUGUAGGGGGGAGAGUAACCAAUGCAUCAACUUUUAACAGAAGUUCUAUUUGAAAUAAUUUUUUGGUGGUCAGAAGUACUGUAGGCAGUGAAAAUGGUGAAUAAAAUAACUGAGAAUGGACUUUAAAUGACGAAAAAUAUCAAACAGAAAGGUGUUUCAACAUUACCGAUAAGCAAAAGAAGCGUGACCACAACUUAGCCUUCCAGUCAUUCAGGAACUGAGGCUGUGCCUUCAUCAAUGCAGAGAAAAAAUCACCAUGGCGGUUUUCAUCCUGGCACCAGUUCUCAAAGUACUUGAAUAUGGGAUAAAGUUGGUACUCGGGAUUACUUUUGAGAUGUCGAUAAAUGGUAAUGUAUCUCCAGUACCCAAUUUUCUCAGACAAAUAUGUUGCAUAGAAUAUAAACUUUGGCUUGAAAAAAGUGUAUUUCCUGGCCUUUGUCAAAAAUCCCAAGUCCAAUGCCAGAUUGAAAUCAGAUAGACCCUUGUUCAAAAACCUGAGAAAAAUCAUAGUUUUUAUAAAGAAAAUAAUCUACAUAUCAUAAAGCUUACCCACCAGCCACUAGCUCAAAAAAUAAAGUUGAAUGAGCACUUAAUAAUAACAAGGAAUAAUAUUUGAACAUACCCCGCAUGCCUGGCCUCAUCUCUAGACAUGAGAGAGAAAAUCUCAGCUACUACAGGAUUAGUUUUCUGCAUAAACCCAAUAAACCUGUGAGUUCUGAGAAAAGAAAAAAAAAACUAAAGAUAGAUAAAAGCACACAAUUAUAAUCUAAUUCACUAUUGACAAGGAACAUAGGUAACAAAAGAAACUGUUAAUCUAAAGAAGCAAAGACAUUUUAUAAAUGCAUUCAACAUAGGUACUGAACUAACAUAACACCAUAAAGACAACUAGAGACUGAUAACUAGUAGGACAACUACAAAGUAAGAAACGCUAGAAUCGAAUCUAUACAUAAAUAUCAAAUAUCCGAUGAAAUAAUGAUCAAGUUAGUAACUUUCUUUAAACCUUGAGGUGAGUAAUAGGAGCAAUGAUUAACUAACACAAUAUUAGAACUCAUGUAAUACCGGAAGUCCAACGUUCGAACUAAUACACCCCAAUAUUGAAAUGAUAACUUGGACACCAGGAUUGAAUAUUGACCCAAAAAACUGACCCAACUGGGAAGUGAUUCACUUUUAAUCCAAAACAUAUAGGUUUUUUUAACAAUCCAAUUCCAAUCGGUAUAUCUAAGUUUGGUAACAUAGUAACUUACCAGCAAUCAAUUUUGCUUUCACUAUGCUUUGUUAUUUUGUGGAGAACAUAUCAAUAAACGGACAGAAAAAGUGGGACAGAAUUUCAAGGUACCUUAAGUCUUCUUCCAAGCUCCUUGUAGAGAAGAAACCCCGAGAACUCAGCAGUACAAGACCUCUCCAAGAAUUCAACAAAAAUCUGGCGCAUUGGGCCUUGCAUUUUAUCAGCAGCCUCUUUAAACUCCUUGUUCCUCACAAAAUGAGUCUGAUUAUAAUCAGUCUUGAAUUCUUGCAGCAAUGCCUCAAACUCAGCUUCAUUUAGAUUUUUGUUAAUAUCAGUGUUGAAAAGUGUCUCCAUCUCAUCGAAAUCAGUAGUGUAAAACCUGGGUGUCAGCAAAGACUCCUUUAUCCCUUUCUUGGUGCCUUUGUUUGAUGAACUUGUGGAGGGUUUCGAGUUUGUGGCUGCCAUUUUAACUGUGACGAGUUUUGUGUGUGAUGUUCUUGGUUUUGAAUAGUUCCCAAGCUUGGAAAUUGAGAUGGGUUUCACUAAAGCCAUUCCUGCUGCCAUAGUGAAGCUUCAGCUAUGAGCUGAAGUUUUUUUGGUUGAAACUGGAGUGGUAGAUAAGAUGUGAAGUUAUGUAGUAGCUUAUGUGUGCAACAAAGAAAGUGUAUCUAAUCUCAUCCAAUAAAAUCUGCCAGCAUAAUGGGAUUCUGACACGUGGCAACUGAUAAUUGGAGCUACUUGGCUUUGAAUUUUUAUUUUUUUUUCCUAGCUAAUUUCUAGCAGCAAGUUUGAUUCUAAAAAUUUCAAGUUUUUUUUGGAAAUAAUUGGGUCCAGGUCUUGCAACCAUAAAAAGAAAAACAGGAAACUGAAUAUGUUAGUAUUGAUAAAACAAAUUAAUAAGGGGACAAUGAAUACAUAUUACUAGAUAAUACUGAGAAUAAUUGAAUCAUGCUUAAUUAUCAUGAUUCAAUAAUAACUUCUUGCACGAGUGAAGAACACUUGCACAGGGUAAAAGAGAGUGAGAUAGAAAUGCAGUCAAAACAAGAGAUAAUAACUUUUACUUCCGAACAUCACACUGCAAUUUGAAUCUUAUAUUUUUAGUUCCAUAACUAAUAUAAUCCACACAAAAAAAAAAAAAGAUGAAUAAGAAUUUACAGAAGCUGUAGAGGACAAAAGACUAUGACCAUCAAUUGGAUAAUGAGAUAAAUUAUUAAAAUCAUGUUACAUUUCAAAUGACAGAAAAGCAUGAAGGUACCCUAAAAUGCUACUAUAAGACUAGAAGUAACAACAUCACUGCUAAUAAAAUUCAUAGUUAUUGGGAAAUUUGUAUGAACUUUGUCAAUGUUUGAAAGAAGAAACUCUAACCACAAAUAUAUGUUUUUGUACCUGAGCGUUAAACUGUACACUACAACUCCUGCUCGCCUUAGAAUACUUAGCCAUGGUCGACUUCCUGGAAAGAGCUUCACCUAUAUUACUCAUAAUGAGACAUGGUACCCAGAAGUUUUUCUGAAAACAUUAUUAAAUUUUAUGGAUAAAGAUGAAAAAAACAUCACUAACAUUUGCAUAAGUAGGAAAACGAAUUUAAUGUUGUACUAUUUUUAAGUCUGCUCGGGAUCCAGACUUGGUAAAGGAAAUAUCUUAACAAGGAUACUUUGUCCGUUUUCAGAGCAUCGAAUAUCAUAACUCAUAAGCAUGUAUGAAUAACUCGCCUUUACAUUUAAUGAUAUGCUGAUGAAACUCGAAGGAACAUAAUAUCUUCACAGCGGGCAUUGUCAACAGAAGUAACUCCACUGAAGGAAUGAGACCUUCUUAAUCUUGAUCCUGGAAAGAGAGGAGAUGAAAUUGAACCUGUUCCAAACCUUCCACUUGCCUCCUUGUUCCCCUCUGUGUUAUUUUUAUCCCCAGGGAGAUUCACACUCCUGGGAGAAGAAUAAACAUUUGAUCCGUGAUAUUUGCCAAGCACGGCUUCAGUUCCUAUGUAUGUUUUUCCUUUUAAUCUAUAGGACUCUGUACAUAAAGAUUCAUCUUCAAGCACCAGUUCUCGGAAAUCAACCAGUGGUGGAGGGAUCUUAGUUGAAAAUAAUUCUUUAAGAUUGUUCAAAAUGCCCCGAUUAUAAGGGUUUUUCUUGUUAUCGUAACGGGAACGGAAGUUCUCAUAAGUUGUCUGUUAAAAAGGAGGGAAGAAGGAUGAUCAGAGGAGAGUGUAAAAUUUACAUCUAAACAAGACAUACUAUCCAGCAAAAAAAACAUGUUUGAGAGUAGAUGUCACAUCAUCUUCACAUUAAUUAUGGGAGUGGCAGCGACGCCAACAGAAAUUCUAUUGCAAGUUAAAGAAAGAAACGCCACGUGUAAGAGACUAAAAGGAGAAAAAAACCCAGCAAGUUUGAUAUAUCUUCUUUUUAUCCAUUAAUCCAUGUAUCUAUCAUGCAUUUCUAACAGUAGAUCUUUAUAUAUGUAUAUGCAUACUGCACAUGUUCAGCUGAAUACUCGUACUGAAAUGUAAUUUAGGAGCAAAAAGGUCACCUGAUUCGUGCACAUCAGAUACAGAUGGAAUACACUAAGCCCACCGACGAACCAAACAGAUAAGAAGCAAUACACCAGUAUGAUGACUGACAAUAUGUCUCGUGCCAGUACCAUCCAAAAACUUCCUUUUUCUUGAAGAACAUGUAUCAAAGUGAAGGUGAAGACGUAUAUGCACAAAACCGUUGAUGAUGUUAUAAACAGGAUGUAAUAAGGAUAAUUACGCUGCAAUGAGUAUAAAAUGAAAGAGUUCAGACUUCAGAAGGAACAGCUAACAUUGUUUAUCAAGGAACUUUAACUUAGUCACUGCAGAUACAUUCACACUAUGCAACCAGGUUUCGUUAGAUAGAUUAAUGAAAACAUGGAAUAUAAGUGUUUACAUAAUAGGGAGAGAAGUUGGAAAUGAAUGUUAUCGGUUAAUCAACGAUCACCAAACAAAGGCAUGCCUCUAGAUAUGUAAAGCAAUUAUGCCCCCAACAAUAUACUUUAGAGCAAAUCAUUACGAAGUAAAAUAUUGGACUUUUUCCGAUCUUAUAAAUAUCAUAGUUCUUAUAAGUGUUAGUACUAGCUUAACUUCAUAGUCUUGGAUUAUAGUGUCCUUAUUGAGCAACUUACGAUUCCAAUACAUUGUCCCACCCAUGGGCAAUGAUGAUCAAACUUUAGCACACAGUUGUUGCAUCUUGAGCAAUGAGAAGUACGUGGUGGACGGUAUAUCAUACAAGUUUGGCAGAAUUUCAAUCUAACAGUUUUGCCGUUGACAAUCUCAUCUCUGGUUCUAGGCACUUUCCGACCACUCAUGGAACGGCUCAACCAAUCCAUAGACAAAGUUGAUGUUGUCCCUGAUUCAGGAGGCGUUGAGCUCCUUGGUACUAUUCCCGGAUCACUUCCAGAUGUUACAAAGAGGAAAAUUAGAUCCUGCAUCAUUCUUACAUUGUCAAACUUGAUCAUAAUUAGUUGUCAGUCUGUUCUAAAGUUACUAAAAUCCUAAAAUGUUCUAUAACCUACCAACAGAAGGAGAACAAUUCCCACAAUCAGCACGCUGUAACCGCGCAGAGGACUGUUUUUGGCUACAUUAAGAAACGUUUUAAUGCAGAAAGCUAUUGCUGGAAUUCCUAUCAAGGAUACAGUUUUAGCUACCGAUGAUGCAUCAGGACCAAAGAUCAACCUCCCGCCGCAGAAAAAUUUCUACACAGUACAAGAAAAUAGCAAGUUAUAGACUAUGAAAGCAGAAGUCAGUAUAAUAGGCUGCACAAAUGGUUCUAAUAACAAACAAAAAAAUCACUUUACAGGAAGUUUAUCAUAAUUUAUACAAUAUUGAUUAGGCAUUUAGCUGGUGGUGAGGCACCCUCGGAGAUGACAUGAAAAAUCACAAACAAAAACGAAAUCGUACCAAGUGCACAAGACCCUUGCUUCGUAAAAAAAAUCUCAUUCUUAUAUUAUAUAUGGUAUUUCCAAGAAUUCGUACUAGGUCUGACCUAGCAGAUAACACGUCAACACUUAACAAUCACAAUCACACGUAUAGAAAGGAGAAACUUACAUUAUGGCCCUUCCAAACUUGAUAAAGCCUGACCCUUGAAUUUGAAGGAGGAUACAUGACUCCAAAGCCAGGAAGGAGCCAAGAAAAAUUGAAGCGUAACAAUAAUGCAAAUCGUAACGUUCAAUAAAAAAAAUGUUAAAACAUGCAAAUUAAAUAUUUAUGUUUCUUGAGGGGGAAGGUUGAUCAAGCAACCCCUCAUUUGUUUUUCUUCCAAUUAACGCCCCCAGAAACAAAACCCUCGUCGAUUUUCUCUUCCUUUUUGUUUGGGUUCCGUCUCGGAGGGUGUCGAAAGUAUUGCGGGGGGUGUUAAGUGUAACGGAUCAUUUUAAUUAAAUUUAAGUAAUAUCUUGCUGUGACUCAGACUAACCCCGUUAAAAUUAAUAAUCAUAUCUAUGAAAAGCGUAUCCAAACACAUCUCAGAUUAACAAUAAAUCAACAAAAAAAUUCUUAAAAAAUAUGAAAAGUUUUUAUAUGAUGUGUAAUUGGAUUAACUUGAAAAUUAACGCAUUUUCAUAUUUUUCUACAAAUAAAUGACUUAAAUCUGUUAAAUAAGAUAAGACCAAGAAAGUUACAAAAAAUAAAUAGAUAACGUCAAGGAUAAUUUUUUACAAAAAAAAUGCCUGAGAGUUGGGAUUAUAAAAUGCAAAGGUUUUAUAAAUCUUAGAUCCGGUCACAAGAAAAUAUAUAUAAAUAAUCGCUUGUGUUUGGAUUAAAAUUAACGAUUAUAAACGAUAAUUAACUUUAUAUCAUUAUUAAUAUUACAAAUAAUUGUACACCAACAUAUCAUAUGUUCUUGAUUCAUUAUCCAAUUUAUUGCAAGCAGUCCUAUUACCACUGCACCAAUAUAUCGAUAUAUUCAAGAUUCAUUAUCCAACAUAUUGCAAGCAAUCCUAUUACUAUUAUAAUAACAUAUGUUCUCGAAUUUUGAUUCAACAUAUUGCAGGUAAUAGGAUUACCACACCGAUAUAUGAUCGACUUUUUUAUUCAACAUGAUGCAAGUAAUCCUAUUACCACUACAUGAGCAUAUAAUGAUAUGUUCUCGAUUCUUGAUUCAACAGAAUUGUCAUGGUACGAGUUCAAGAGAAUCUAUACCAAAAUUUAUAAAAAUAAACAAAUUUAUACUUUUACCGGUAAGAACAUCUCCGACAUUCACUUAAGUAACUCUUUAAAUAUAAUAAAAAAAUUGUCUCUUAACGACUUAAUGUACAUUCAUCUUCAAUAACAUUCUUUAUAUUUAUUUUUUUAUAUAAUAUUUUUUUAUUAAAUUAUUUUUUUUCAAAUAGAAGUACAAUACAAAAGUGGAUGCUUGUAUUACUUUAUAAUAAAUAUAAUUUAAAAGUGAGUUGUGGACUCUAAAAAAAGGAGAGAAAAGAGGUUCUAGAGCAAGUCCAACACUAUGCUAAGAGAUUCUCUAAAAAUAUUAUAAAAUAAUAUGUCUUAGUGAUUUAGCACAAGAUUUAGCACAUGAGCUCCAAUAGUACUCCCUAUAUCCAUUCCCUAUUAUUAUAAUAAUAUUAAAUUUAAUGAUAAAAAUAGUUUAGAAGAGAGGGAAAUGAUGUGGAGGAGAGAGAGAAAUGAAUAUUUUAAUGAUAAAAAUAGUUUAGAAGUGGCUAGCAUAGUCUAAAAAUAGGGAAGGGGAGGCAUGUGCUAGUGAUUUAGCACAUCACUAGCAUAGUGUUGGAGUGCAAUUUUAUCCCAUAUUCCCUAUUUUUGGAUUUAAGACUUGAUUUAGCAGGACUUGCUCUUAAGACUUUAAAAGUGUUUGAGACCACUUUUUAAAGACCUUGAAUACUGAACACUACACCAAAAGCAACUACUUGUUCGAGAUGACGCAACUAUAAUAUAAUAUUUAUAGUGUAGCAGCAAACACCACAGUUCGACGCAGUGAGUGUGAGAGAUGUGCUUAUUUGUGUAGCAGCCAUCAUCACGAAUCGAAUUAGAGAUAUACUGGACACCCCCAGCACUUCUUUUCUAAACAAAGAAGUAGAGGACUUGUCUCUUUGAUAGUAUGAAGAACUGCAUCAUAACAAGCUGCUACAUUAAUUUGUUUCAAGUCAAAAGGUUUGGCCGUUAUAUCGAGGCUUAACACAAUACAUGAAAUCCAGCACACAGAAUUUUGCCAAUAUCUGUGAGAAUAGUCUGCCAGUUGCGGAUAGACUGCCGGCUACAGACAAGUAACAAAGGGAAAGGACUAGCAUUACAAAAGUUUCUUACAACACAAAUGUUUCACUUGAACCAUAACUUCCUAUCUACUAAAUACAUGCAAAGCUAAAGUUACUACUGCUCCUGGCUGUAUCGCAGUUGACUACAUCCAGAAUAGCUUCUUGCCAUCAGACUACAGAUAACUGCAGAAAGAAAAUGCAAUGCUGUGAGAAAUUCAUUUCACUCUACUUUUCAUAAAGAUACGUAAUGGCUACAAUACAUUUUUAAGCUGUAGUAAUUCAGGAAACCAGAAAAGCAAAUAUAACUUGAAGAAACGACAAAAAAGUUAACUAGUUAAGAUAGUCAAAAAGUGAUUAUCAGAUGUAAAAUUCAGGAAACCAGAACAGUACCACUCCCCAAUGCUAUAGACAAGAUCAUGACAAAUUAAUAAAUACACUAUAAACCUGUAUCUUGAAAAAAACUCCAAACUGCUCCCAAUUGUUGUGUCGGGGAGGUCAGCCGUUAACCAUAUAUCUCGGUAACUAGACAGCAAUAUACAUUAGUUACUCUCACUGUCUGACAUGGGGUUAGAUGCCUGUGAACCACACAAUUCUGUAACCCCACAGUAAAAAUUUAUGUUUGUCUGAGUAGAAUCAACUGUACCUACAGUAUUCUGCCACUCCAUGGCAGUAAAUAUUUUCUUCUAUAGAUUUCACACGAAUGGGUGUUUAAUGUCUCCUUGAGGUUUAUUUGACUCACGUGGUCCUUGUUAAAGUAAAAGAGUGAGGUAUGUGCAGAACAAGACAGGUCAUGCAUGUGGGUUCAGUAUCUUAAGUAAUUAAAUAAGCUGACUGUAUCUAAACCAUAAGGUGAACCAAGUCCUUGUCUUCCCAGAUGCUGCAAACUUUCUCAGGCCCGGUUUUUCUUCGAAAUAAAUUUAAACACUAAUUAAGUGUCCCAAGACCCUUCUGUACCAUUCUUAGAUAUUAAAGGAAAAAAAAACGCAUCAAAAAAGGUAAAAUCAGUGGUUAUGCAGGAACAUUAUAGCAGAUACUUGUCAAAAGCCCACUUCAGAGUUUUCAAAAGUCAGUUCACCAAAGUCCUCAUGACCUGAGAUUACCAAAAUAUAUAUGACUACCAUGUGUAAAAAAUUUUAUAUUUCUUGAAAGAACCAACAUUGUUUAAAGAUGAAAAGGUACAUUGUGAAUUUACAGGGGAAAAGAAAAAAAAAGGUAUACUACUUAGCACAAUAACACUCACAUUCAUCUAUUGCUUACUUUUUGAAUCAGGUGCUGGGGGAAGCUUGGGUACUAAUUAGUGCAUAUAUCGUAUAAGUGAAACAAAAAUGGCACCACAAAGAGAACUUCAUGAGUGGUGCAUUAAAAUAUUAAUUGGGCACUAAGAAUAGAGAGGAAGAACCUCAGAAACAUAUGGCAAGCAAUGUCAAACUCCCUUUCAGACGUUCUCUUGUUCACACUUAAGUAUAAAAUUGCAGAGAUGAUGACAACUGAAAGCUGACAUGAAGAGACCCUAAGUGAUUUUUUCAGUUAAGGAUGUAAUAACUAAAUUCUAACUUAUCAUAUAGGAUACAGUACAUAGUUCCAUUGGAUAAUAUCAUUCCACGAGGACCUCCGAAAAAGACUAACAGGAUUUCAAAAUUCCACACCAACUAUUUUACAUUUGUUGAAGAAAAUAUCACAGCAUAACAAUAAGCAUCAAUGAACCCAGGUUGUUGUUGUUUGUUUGUUUUGUUUUUUUGUGUGUGUGUGGGUGGGUGGGUGUGUGUGGGUGGGGGGGGGUUAAGAGAAAACUAACCUUUUUUCAUAUGCAUCUGUCAGAACUCUAAAGGGUCUUCAUCAUCAAUAAAAGUAACCCUUACAAUUCAAAGAUCCGCAUAAGCAUCUCUUCCUCCUCAGUGCAGCUCUGUCAGAUUUAGGUAUCCCAUAAUCAAAUGCCAGCUCUUGCAUGGGAGGAAUGUGUCCAAUAGAAUAAAAACCAACAUGAAGAUAAGUUUUAUCUCCACUAUCUCUCAAAACUGGCUGCCAGAAAACAUUAGGAGAACAGCUGUGAUUAAUAAAGCGAGCCACAUUCCCAGUAUUCUUAGCACUGAUAACUAGGGGGAAGGGAACUUCUGCAGACCCAUUAGAAGUGUAGUCCAGUGAAGGAUAUGCCCUGGUAGCAUCAAAUAUAUACUCUUCAUGUUCACUUCCAAGGUCCAUAAUACUGGAUGCAUCAAUAACAUCUCCAGCAUACUGACAAAUAAACAUUCCACUGCGGAUGGGAUCCCAGGAUCUAAGUCCCCAACCUUUAUCUUUCGUUCUAAACACCUCCAACCGAACUUUUAAUCCUGCUUGAGAAACCCGGUUUCGGCAGUUUGGAGGGCAUAAACAAGAAGAACCACACUCAUGUAUCAAGGAAUUGUAAUUUAAAACUACGCCAAGUGAAUUGUAUGGAAGAAAACCUUCAUUCCUUUGAACACAGGGGCAAUUUGCAUCACCAGCUUGGCAUCCACCAUGGCAAGCACAGCCUGAUGAUGGAACGGGCAAAUCAAAUGGUUUAUCAUACUUGAGAGUUGAAGAAUAUGUGAAAUAUGCUGGACCCUUUUCAUCAUCUAUGUCAUUUACGAGAGAUACAGGUAGAGUUUCUUCCCCUGAAGUAAGAUCAGGCAGAAUAACACCAAUCCUUGUACCAGAUCCUGCCUUCCAGUGUUCAAUUGAUUUCCACAACGUAAAUGCUUCAGGCUGACCAGGCACUCGAACAAACUUGUACUUAAAAACACUACAACCACCUUUUCCUUUAUCUACCCAUGACUCGUGUAUUUUAUAAAGGCCAUCAUAGAUGUAUAUCUUCCCAGUUCCAUUAGGGACAUCCUUCACCCCCCUUAUAACUCUAACAACAUUAGCCCUAUGCAAGCUCUUUUCCAAAGCAAGGUUACCCCUUUCAAGUUUCUGAUCAAAUAUUUGACCAUCUUUCCUUUGAACUCCACCUUGCCCGCUAUAGAUUAGGACAUCCCCAUCCUCACCAUCAUCUUCAUAUCCUCCUGAAGAAACAACACUUACAGCCACAGGUUCAUCAUCAGCAGACAGUUUGACAGUCAUAUAAUCUAUCCCAGCCAUUGUCGGGGCAUGCAUUCCUACCAUGCACAUUUCCAUCCUGAAAAAGAAUAUGUCACCUACUUCAACUCCAGGUACAGGUCCAACCCUCUUCGUGCUAUUUGUCCUGGCCCCCUUAUUCAUUAAAGUUGUAGCAGCCUUUAAGUCUGGACGAUUGGUACCCCCCGGAAUAUCCUCCUUAGCUUCACAAAUCUGAAAAAGUCUUCUCCGAAACAGAUUAUAUGUCAGGAGUACUCUUGCAACUAAUUCCUUAUUCCCAUCAGCUUGUUGAUGGGAUUCCAAUGCUGUUAGCUUAAAUGCUCUCAAGAACUGAUCAAGAGUAUCAUCAAUGCUUACUUGAACCGAGGAAAGAUUAGCAGGACCCUUUGCCCUUUUAUGAGAGCUACCUCUUUGCUUCCUUCCGCUACUUGGGUCAUCUAAAUUUUCACCCAGAUCAGAAGCUCCGUAGUCAUCUUCAGUUCUACCUUUUCGAGGCCUGCCUCGUGUUUUCGAUGGCCCUGCAUUUCCAUUUGAAUAUUGUGUGUCUGGAGUUCUAAAAGAGUUCAACGGAACUGGCGAGGGUAUGACAUUUGCAAACCCAGAAGCUCUCUGUGACUCAUUUCCGGAAGCAAAAGGGAAAAAGGAUGGACCGCCAGGCGCAAACGGACCAGUUGGAGGGACACCUGGGAAUGGACCGGUCUGAGAUGAGCCCAUUUGCGGCGAAAAUAUUGGUUUGAGACUUCUUAAUGGUUUCACAUCCAAAACCCUAGACUUGUCAAUAGGACCUGUCGGAUUAUAGUUUGAACCUCGAUCCAUUGCUCCUUUUUUCACUUAAAAACUAAACAGAUGUCACCUCUUAUAAAAAAAUCAAGUCCUGGAUAUCUUCUACCCACUUAUAAUCUUCUUCCAAGUACACUAGGAAAAUAAAAUCUAUAUCAGAAUACUAGAACUGACCAACUAAACAAAAUGUUAAAUCCCUAAAACCAAGAAAAAGGUUCAAACUUUUACCAAAUAACAUAUCAAAACUACUUCAACCAAGCGAAAAACACUCAUAAAAAUCUCAUACAUCAACUAUCUUUAAUGAACCCAACAAAAGGAAACACCAAAAAUCCUUAAUAACUUCAGGAAAAACAAAAACAAAUUAAGCCCAUACAAAUGUGACACACAACCAUGACGAAAGCUGUAAACUUUGACCUCGAAACAGGCCAAAGAUGCUUCUUGAAACAGGCAAACAAAAAAAAACCUCAAUCUCAUGUAUAUAUCGAUUAUUUAUCAAUUACCCCAAACAAAUGCGAAACCUACACAAUAAUCAUAGUCCAAGUCAAAUCAGCUCCUCAUCUUCAACCAGAAAUUGNNNNNNNNNNNNNNNNNNNNNNNNNNNNNNNNNNNNNNNNNNNNNNNNNNNNNNNNNNNNNNNNNNNNNNNNNNNNNNNNNNNNNNNNNNNNNNNNNNNNNNNNNNNNNNNNNNNNNNNNNNNNNNNNNNNNNNNNNNNNNNNNNNNNNNNNNNNNNNNNNNNNNNNNNNNNNNNNNNNNNNNNNNNNNNNNNNNNNNNNNNNNNNNNNNNNNNNNNNNNNNNNNNNNNNNNNNNNNNNNNNNNNNNNNNNNNNNNNNNNNNNNNNNNNNNNNNNNNNNNNNNNNNNNNNNNNNNNNNNNNNNNNNNNNNNNNNNNNNNNNNNNNNNNNNNNNNNNNNNNNNNNNNNNNNNNNNNNNNNNNNNNNNNNNNNNNNNNNNNNNNNNNNNNNNNNNNNNNNNNNNNNNNNNNNNNNNNNNNNNNNNNNNNNNNNNNNNNNNNNNNNNNNNNNNNNNNNNNNNNNNNNNNNNNNNNNNNNNNNNNNNNNNNNNNNNNNNNNNNNNNNNNNNNNNNNNNNNNNNNNNNNNNNNNNNNNNNNNNNNNNNNNNNNNNNNNNNNNNNNNNNNNNNNNNNNNNNNNNNNNNNNNNNNNNNNNNNNNNNNNNNNNNNNNNNNNNNNNNNNNNNNNNNNNNNNNNNNNNNNNNNNNNNNNNNNNNNNNNNNNNNNNNNNNNNNNNNNNNNNNNNNNNNNNNNNNNNNNNNNNNNNNNNNNNNNNNNNNNNNNNNNNNNNNNNNNNNNNNNNNNNNNNNNNNNNNNNNNNNNNNNNNNNNNNNNNNNNNNNNNNNNNNNNNNNNNNNNNNNNNNNNNNNNNNNNNNNNNNNNNNNNNNNNNNNNNNNNNNNNNNNNNNNNNNNNNNNNNNNNNNNNNNNNNNNNNNNNNNNNNNNNNNNNNNNNNNNNNNNNNNNNNNNNNNNNNNNNNNNNNNNNNNNNNNNNNNNNNNNNNNNNNNNNNNNNNNNNNNNNNNNNNNNNNNNNNNNNNNNNNNNNNNNNNNNNNNNNNNNNNNNNNNNNNNNNNNNNNNNNNNNNNNNNNNNNNNNNNNNNNNNNNNNNNNNNNNNNNNNNNNNNNNNNNNNNNNNNNNNNNNNNNNNNNNNNNNNNCCCCCCCCCCCCCCCCCCCCCAAAAAAAAAAUCUCAUGUCUAUACACACAAAUCAGCUUCAGGAAUCAAGAACCAAAGAAAACAAAACCCUGAAAAUUAGUCAGACCACAAUUACAAUGACAGGAAAUGAUUAGUCAAAAUAACCCAAAUAAAUGUGAAACACACACAACACAAGAUAUUUUAAUGAUCCCAACAAAAGGAAACACCAUGAAUCCUAAAUAACAUUACAAAAUAUAAUAAAUUAAUUUAAAAUCAAUCGCUGACAAAUGUGACACACAGACACCCGCACAAUGAUCAUACACCAUGAUGAAAGCAGUAAACUUUGACCUCGAAACAGGCCCGAGAUGCUUCUUGCAAUAUUCAAACACAAAAAACCCUCAAAAUCUCUUGUAUAUAUCAGUUAUAUAUCAAUUAAGCCAAACAAAUGUGACACCUACACAAUAAUCAUACACCAAGUCAAAAGAUGCAAACUUUAACCUAAAAACAGGUGCAAGCUCCUGAUUUAAGUCAAUCAUACACACAAAUCAGCUUCAAGAAUCAAGAACCAGACUCCCAAAGAAAACAAAACCCUAAAAAUUAGUCACACCACAAUUACAGUCACGUACAUUGACUAAUCAAAGUAACCCAAAUAAAUGUAAAACACACACAAUGCAAGAUAUUUUAACGAUCACAGCAAAAGAAAAACAAGAUUCCUGAAUAACAUAACAUUAAAAAAUUCAAAUUAAGCCCAGAAACGCCCACAAAAUAAUCGAACACAGUGACAAAAGCUGUAAACUUUGACCUCAAAACAGGCCCGAGAUGCUUCUCGCAACAUUCAAACACAAAAGAAAAAACCCCUCAAAAUCUCAUGCAUAUAGCAAUCAUAUAUCAAUUAAGCCAAACAAAUGUGACACAUACACAAUAAUCAUACACCAAGUCAAAAGAUGCAAACUUUAACCUAAAACAGGUGCAAGCUCCUGAUUUAAGCGAAUCAUACACACAAAUCAGCUUCAAAAAUCAAGAACCAAAGAAAACAAAACCCUAACAAUUAGUCACACCACAAUUACAGUGACACAAAAUGAUUAAUCAAAAUAACCCAAAUAAAUGUGAAACACACACAGCACAAGAUACCCAGAACAACUUAAAAGAAACAAAAUUGAAAAACAGAGUAAUUCAAUUAACGAGAUACAGAUACGAUGUAAACAGAAUCAGUAGCAAAGAAGACAGCUAAAUAGAUCAGUACAGGGGAGUGAAGCAUUAACAAACCAGAUCUUGAAAUAGAAACAUACCUAGUAACACUGGGGUUUAUGUUCUUGGGGAGAGAGAGGAGAGAGAAGCAACAAGGGGAAAUGAAGAGAGUGUAGAGUGUGUUUGAGCGCGCAUGAAUAAACGAGAAAGCAAGCCUCUGAGUGCUUUAUUGUACUUUGUUUAUGUUUGUACUUGGGAUAUUUUAAGUUUAACAAAACACUGACUUAUCAUAUAGACUAGACGGGGCACAGCUCGAUUCGUAUUUCCCCUUUCUUGUUUAGACUUUGGAGUGGUAAAUUAAGUAACGGAUUUUUCGGACACCCUCAUCAUUUUUUGUUAAAUUUUUUUUUUAAUUUCAAUUUUGUUAUAAUAAUACUCUCACGUAUAUAAAGUAUACUUGUUAAUACACAAUAUGAGUGACCCGCUUAAUAUCGUCCAAUACUAAUUGAGACCUGAGAAUUGAGAUAUCUAAGAAAAUUGUUACAAGAAUUUAUAUUUGUAAGUGAAUAGGAAGUUGCUGUAAAUGUAAUGCUUAGAAAAAUUAACUGGUAUAAUAUUUAUAUCAUAAUAUAUUAAUAUAUUAAAAAAAUUGUUAUAAUAUUUUAGUUAUUAUUGUUUAGAUGUUAUAUAUAUAAUUCAAAAUAAAAAAUAUCAUGAAAUCGUUUUUUUCUGUUUAUUGGGAUAUUAAUAGUUGGAUUGAUCUAGUUUCUGGUAGAUUAAUAAAGAGAUGAAAUGUGAUAGUAGUCCUGUACUGUGUUUCCAAAUUUUAUAAUUUUUUUAGCUAGGCUGAUCUAAUUUUUACCGAAUUUUGUAAUUUUAUCUCAGUCAAGUUUUUUUAAAAAAUGUUAGCUUCUGUUUGAUAUUAUUCUUUCAAAUAAGAAUAUAUUAUUAUCAAAAAAGUUAUGAAAAAUUGUUUGAUAAGUUUAAAAAUAAUAUUUUUGAAUUAUGAUUUUAACUAAGAAAAAGGAGGUCCCCUUACACUAUUUGUAAAAGAUAUUGCAUUAAUUUUAUAUUUCAUCUAAUAUUUUACAGAUCUAAUUUAGUCAAUAAUCGUUGAAAAUAAUAAUGAGUUGGAGAAAAAGCAUGCUUCAAACAAUUUUCUAGCAACACUUGAAAAUUUUAAAAUUAUUUUCACCAUCAUUUAUUAUAUUUCAGAGCCCUUUGGUCAUCAUCUAUAUUAUUUUUAUAAAUAAAUAUUUUGGUUUUAUUUCUCAUUUUAAUCUCUCUCUUUUUUCCCAAUUUAUCAUGCAAUAUUAAUAAGUAGUACAUAUAAACAAUAUUAUGAAAGUUCUGGUUCUUCGUUAUAUCACAAAAUACUAAAAUACCAGAAGUCUAACUAUUAUUAUUAUUAUUUGUAAAAUUGCAUAAACAAUAUUAUGAAAGGUCCGGUUCUUCGUUAUAUCACAAAAUAGUAAAAUAUCAGAAGCCUAACUAUUACUGUUAUUUGUAAAAUUGCAUAGUGGUUUCUUGGAGUUGCUCAUCCAAAACGCACCAAACGCGUCCCGGUCGAGAAAUUGAAUAAUGAAGGAUUAAUUAAUCAAAUCAUGAUUAAUCGGAUGAUUAAUUGAAUAAUUAGAUAUUUAAUCAGUUCGUUGGAUUAUGAAACAAGAAUUAAAUGCUAAUUUAUCGUGAUUAAUCAUCGACUUCUAGAACACAACAGAUUUAUUAAAUUCGUUAAGUUUGUUUUAACAUUGCGGUGUGAAUAGACUACAAAUAUAUUAAUAAUCAUUUAGAAGGUAUAGUCUAAAUAUAUUAAUCUCUUCUUUAUGUACUUCUUGGUAUACAUUUUAAGACAUCUCAUAAAAUACAGUUUCAUAUUUUUUUUUUCAAUGAAUAAAAGUUUGACGUUUAAACUUUUAUUAAAAAAAGAUAAUUAGAAAAAGUUUAAGAAAUUAUAUUUUAUAAAAAUUUCAAAAUGUAUGCAAAUAAUGAACCUAAACAACUGGACUGGAAGCAAAUUUUACUGUGUCAGACGAGUUCAUAUUAUUUUAAGGUGCAUUUCGUGUAAUUUUCAUAUACAUUUGUUUUUUUUUUUAGAAGAUUUGUGAUCCGUUAUCGUUAUUUUUAAAAUAACAUUUUUUCAUCGCAUUCAAUAAAUUCAUUUACCUUAUUCACUUUGUUAGAACGGUGAGGUGUGAAUAGACAACAAUUAUAUUAAUAAUCAUUUAUUGUGCCUCAGGCUCAGGGCAUAAUAUAUUAAUAAACAAUUUACUGUGCUGGAGGCCAUAGCCUAGAUUUAUUAAUCCUCUCGAGUGUGCUUUCAUGUUUUGUAUGCUUAAAGUUAAAACUUAUAUCUUGAAGUUAUAAUGCUAUAUAUUAUUUAAUAACAUAUAUUGAAUCUUUAUAUUUACACAUAAGUAUAUAUAAAUUUGUAAAUAUAUUUGUUUAUACUCAUUUAUUUAAAAAUAUAUUUAUAACAUAUAUUUUUUGUCUAUAUAAAAUAAAAAUAUUUAAUUUAUCAUGUAUUUGCGUAUCUGUGUAUCAAGAAUCCAAACACCUGCAUCAAACUGACUUUAUACCCAUGCGUUAUCUUAAAUGUAAGAAAGGUUCAUUAUCAGCAAACAGUAACAGUUGUUGUAAUACGUAAUUUACUUGGACAAAGUGCUUUGAAUUGCUUCAAAGCGAUUCGGAAUGAACCUUUAUGUAAUCCUUGCUUGUGCGAUGACUUAUAUAUAAACCACACACACAUUGCCAAUAAGUUUGCUUGCCAAGUCACUCCAACUAAUAGAUAAGACACUUCGAAAAUAAAUAACUAAAAUGAUUUGUAGCGAAUGCACUUUUGACUAUAUAGCUAACAAGGAUAAGGACGACAAUAAAUUUAAUCGACAUCUGACAAUGAACCUUUUCCAGUUUUUUUUAAUUUAUCUGCUACACUCGAUACCCUCCCGACGAAGUCUGUAGUAGUAGUAUUAAUUAGAAAUACGGGUCUAAAUAAUCCAGGCCGGCUGACAGGGAAAGGCAGGGCAGAGCUACUCAUCACAUGACUAAGGGGCUGUUUGGACGAGCUUAAAAUAAUUGUUUCUUACUUAAAAUAAAAAAGUAGAGUAGAAGUUAAAAACAAGUUAAGACUUAUAAGUGGUUAAAGUGUUUGAGAAAUAAGCAGAAGCCCUGAAACAAAAGCUAGCACUCCUAGCUUUUUAUAAGUGCUUCUUCACUUUUUACACAAACGCUACGAAAUAAGUGCUUCUAACUUAUAAACCAGAAGCUCGGCUUAAAAGCCGGAAACAAACACCCCCUAAAUCUUAAUAUAUACCCCCUUUGGCUUUCUCGUUUCUUUACCGUUGGGAUGUCCCUCUCAAUUCUUUACGUCACUGUAAGGACAUUUCUAACUGUGAUCCAAAAAUUUAAAUUUAAAGCAAUUUUGGUCCAAACCAGCCCAACCGUGGAUUAAAAAGUGAUCAAAAUUUGGAUCAAUGAAUAGUACUUGUCCAGAUUUGGAUCACUGUCCAAAUUUGGAUCACUAUCCAAAUCUUUUUAACAUUAAAAUAUUAUUACUUUUAUUAUUUGAUGAUUUUGUUAAUGUCAUUAAAAAUAGAUUAAUUAAGAUUAGAAUAUAAAUAAAACAACGAUUAAUUACAAUUUAAAAUUUCAAAAUAAAUAAAAUUUACAUAAAAUUUCAACAAUUUAACAAUCGCUACAGGAAAAAUCAAAGACAAAUAUUGUUCAUCUUGGACUUCGAAAUGCACUAAUUGAGCAUUUGCGGAAAAAAUAUACUUUCUAAGAAUUAGUAUUUUAAUGUAAUAUUUUAAUAUUUUUAAUUUAUUUUUAUGUGCCGUUUUAACUUUUUCGAAUUAUUUUGUAAUAUUUUAUCUUUGUCUAUUCGUUAAUUAUAUUAUUACAAUUAAUGAUGAAAUUAGUUAAUCAUUUUUAAAAAUAUUUAAAAUUAAAGUAUAUGAAUAUUAUAAGGAUGGAUGAAUUUGGAUCUAUAUUUGGAUCACAUGGUUGGAAUAGGAUUUAAAUCCCGCCCCAAAUUUGGAUCAUUUGGUGAUCCAAAUUUGGAUCUAUGGUUGGAGUUGGCCUAAAUAGUAAGUUUUUUCCAUCAUUACACCCACUAUCUUCCCCUACUAUCUCAUAUUUAACAAUAAAAACUACUAUUACACCCACUACUUUCCUCCACUAUCUCAAAUCUAUUAUUAAAUAUUGAUAGGUCCCACCACUUUACCCACUUUUCAUAUAACUUUACUCAUUUUUUAUACAUUGUCUUGGUCUGUGUGUCCCCUGAAAUGUAAAUAAUUAAGGGGGACGGAGGGAGUAUAUUUAUUCAGUUUUUUAUUAGAUUGAACAUAAAUAGCUAAAAAAAUGUACAAAAAACGUGUGAAAAGAUAAAAUAAAUCGAUAAAUUGCCAAAUAUUUUUAACAUUUAUAUCUUAAAAUGUGGAUGAAAAUAUUUGGUGAUUAUUUUUUAUAUUAUUAGAUAUGCUAUUAUAAAAGAAUUCUGAAAUGUAAGAAAUUAAUAAUGAAAAUUUUAACAGAACUAGAUGACAUAAUUAACAUAUAAACAUUAUAUAUAUAUAUAUAUAUAUAUAUUUAUACAUAUAAUAUGACUUCUAAAUUUUAAUGUUAUUUUUAAAGUCUAGAUAAGGAUUUCGUGAUCGAGAUAUAAUAUACAAUAAUUUUUUUUUCAAGUAUCACAUUACUUUAUUUUGAAUACGUGUUAACAAUCAAUUAUCAUGUUAUAACAGAGCGUAAUAAUAUCAUAAAUUAUUUUGAAUAUGAAAAUUAACUGAAGACGAAUAUAAUUAUAUUCGUAAAAUCAAGUUGCUGUAUAGAAAAAAAAUCUAAAAUGAGCAUGUGUGUCAUAUAUCAUAUCAUAUCGAAGAUCAAUAAUUUAUUUAACAAAUAUGAAUGACUUAUAUUAAGACAUAUCAUAAUGUAUCAUAAUGUUGAGUGAGGUAGAAAUGGAUGAUCGUUCAAUAGUUACACAGACGUGGAUAGAUAGAAAUGAGGAUGAGUAUCUUCAAAAAUAAAGAAAGAAAUAAAAUUAACACUAGUGGGCUCCACAUUACAUGUUGACACAUUCAAGGAACAAAUCCGCAGUUCCUAAAACCCCUCAAUGCAAGUGCAAGAAGCAGCAUACGUGAAAGCAAAGUAUAUAUGUGAAAAAACACACACACAAACAUCAACAACAAUAACACAGAGACGAGUCAUCAUCUUCUUCUUACAGUAACACUUUGUAGUUUACACAACUGCCCCCAUCACUCCAUUACAUCAUCACCUAUAUAUAGAGCCCAUAUUCCACCGCUUUUAAACAUGCCCUUCUGACCCCUUCUCUGUAUAUUCAUAUUUCUUAUCAUUAUCUUUAUUUAUCUCUCUCAGAGACACACAUACUAAAUUGGGGUUUUGGAGAGUUGGCUACUUGGUUUCUGAGGUAAUUUCUUGAUAACAGAACUUGGGUUUAUCUGUGUGUUUGGAUUCUUUACUUUUAUUAUUGAUUGCUAUUCUGUUUCUGAGAUUUUGGGUUUUUAUGGCAUUUUUGUACUUUGUUUUUGUCUUGUUCUAUGGAGUUUCUUAUGAUACUAUCAUGUGAGUCUGUGACCGGGUGAGGUAAUUUUUAAAAAGUCUCUCUCUCUCUCUCUCUCUCCUCUCCCUCUCCCCCUCUCUCCCUCCCGCCCUCCCUCCCUCCCUCCCUCUCUCUCUCUCUCUCUCCCCUCCACUCUCUCAAACACACACACACACGGAGACAGAAAAUUGUAUAUCUUAAUAUGAUAUAUUUCUUGUAACUUAUUGUUUGGCAUCAAACUCAACUGGUCCAACUUGGUAAAACUAUAUCAUCGUCUCCAUAAUUCUGAUGAUUUAGGUGGUUGUUUUCUGUUCUUGCUUUACUACUUUUCUGAUAGUUGAUCAUAGUGGAACUCAAAUGACCUUGAUUCUUUUUGCCUAUAUAAGCCUGUGCUGCCACUGAAUGCUGUGAGGAGGAAGAAAUGGGUUCCAGCAGCGGCUCCUCUUUCACCGUUCUACUUUGCACUCUUAUUGGAUUGUGCGCUUUGAAUCAAUGUUGCGGGGUUGGCUUAGAGGCAAACGUGACUGCACAAUUAUUUGUAAAUGCUUCUAAGGUAUCUGCGAGGCAGAUACCACAAAGUCUCUUUGGUGUAUUCUUUGAGGUACUUUUUUUACACACUAACAAGUUCUCCUAUCCCCUGCAUUUUAUUUUGUUGUUCAAGAGGUUCCUAAAGAUAUCGUAUUUCUGGGUACCAUUAAUCAGAUGUCCUCUUAUAUAUACAUAUUCGUCAACAUGCUCUUGUCAUUCCAUCCUUAUAAGACCUCUGUUAGGAUGCAUCAUUGUAAACCAGAUAGCUACCCACCCAAUAUUUAUUGCAGUUAUUAAGGUUAGAUCUUAUCCUAUAAAUGGAUUAUUAAAAUUGUUAUUAAUAUGAUCCUUUCAAGGCCUCUUGCUAACACCUUAAGAUUGUGUGUGGGCUGGUUACUCUUAGCGAAGAAGGCUUUUGGCUUUUUGUAUGGAAUUGCUACCUUUUUUUUCGUAUAUGCACUACUAAAUGGAAUAUAUAUGUUUCUACGUAAUUGUGCUUUCACAUGUUGGCCUUCCACAGUGUUAGUUUUUGAAAAUGGCAUUCCCCUGUUUUUUCUUGCAGGAGAUCAAUCAUGCUGGGGAGGGCGGCCUGUGGGCAGAGCUUGUAAGCAAUAGAGGUAUCACCAGAUUCUCUUGACCAAAUUCAAAUUUAUCAAACGCACUGCAUCUUACGGCUGUUUCUCUGGUUACUUAUUGGUUUCAAAAUUAUCUUGUGUGAGGAAGCAUUACACAAUUUGAUUAAGUUAGUUGCUUAAAGGUGUCUAUCCUUGACAACAAAAAUAUAUUCCCUGAAUCAGGUUUGAUUCGCUAUCACCAAAUAUAAAGCCAAACUACAUAUUUUUUUGUGAAUGAUCAUGUUGAGGAACCCCAACAUUAAUACCAUACCUCCUAGUAAAUCCUGUUUGGACAAACAUCAUAGCAGGCAGAUAACUUUAAUAAUGAACUACACAUUACAUGUAUCUAUAUGGUCAGGUUCACAUUUUUGCACAAUUAUUUGUUCUAUGCUUUAGUAUUAUCACAUAUUAUGCAGCUCUUUCUCAUUUUCCCAUUAAUGUCCUGGAGAAAUCAUUAGCAGUUAAAGUUAAAAUUUAUUUCAGACUUCAGAAAUAUACUUCCAGUACUUCGUAUAUCUAUACAUAUUGUGAUUAAUUUAAAGUUGGAUCAUACUAAUAGAAUCUGGAUCACAGGUUUUGAAGCUGGGGGCCAAAACAUCCCCUCAAAUAUUGAUCCUUGGUCUAAAAUUGGGGAUGAUUCAUCUGUUAUUCUAUCAACAGAUCGCUCAUCAUGUUUUGAUCGUAAUAAAAUUGCACUUCAUAUGGAGGUACUUUGUGACAGCGAAGGUCCUAAAAUCUGUCCUACUGGUGGAGUUGGUAUAUAUAAUCCAGGAUUCUGGGGGAUGGUAAUUCCUUAAUCUUGACAGUGAGUUUUGUUUGGCAUAUUAGUAAACGUCAAUGGGGUAUCUUGAGUCCCUUCUGUCUUUGGAAAUAUGGGUUAAACCAUGUCUUACUUAUUUCAAUCGAGCCUUUCGUAUACUGGUUUUAUUUUCAAUUGUUAUAUGAGCAGAACCAUCUUUUUGAGACAUGUUAAUGAAUUCUUAACUGAUUCCAAGUAUGCAUCGUACUACAUUUAGCAAGGACCAACCUUUGAUUCUUUGUGAUGUGUUCUUACAAGUCACUGCAAUUUUUCUAUGUGAACUGACUAAAUUCUUUGCCAUUCUAAAUUUCUGACCCUUUUAUCAUGCAGAAUAUUGAAGAAGGGAAGAACUAUAAACUGGUUCUGCAUGUCCGUUCCUUGAAUGCAAUUAAUGUAUCUGCAUCUCUAACCGACUCAACUGGAUCACAGACACUGGCUUCAGCUAAAAUUUUGUGCGUACAUAAUCAUUUCAAAUGGUUUUGCAUAUCCAAGAAUGAUAUAAACUCUAGCAUAGGACUAAGUUGCUAUUUUUUGCAGAGCUUCUGAUGUCUCAAAUUGGACAAAGUUGGAGGUAUUAUUAGAAGCAAAAGCAACGAAUCAUAAUUCAAGAUUGCAGUUGACAACCACCCAGAAAGGAGUUAUAUGGUUUGAUCAAGUGUCAUUAAUGCCAUUGGACACAUACAAGGUAUGUGAUCAUUUAAAUAAAUACCAUCCAAUUAAUGGUCACAGAAAGUUAUAUCACACUAAAAGGCCUUAUAUAAUAAUAUUUGACAACCCUUUUUUCUGCACAGGGACAUGGUUUCCGAAAUGAUCUUUUCAAAAUGGUAGCAGACAUGAAACCAGGUUUUAUCAGAUUUCCAGGUGAUUAUACAUUUUACAUGAUCUGCCUUUUCAUGUUUUCUUUGACAUUUCCUUGCCGUUUCGUGUUUUCUGUAGAAUGUAAUGCGAGCAUUUGCAUAUAGACUGUGUAUAAAUUUCAAUUUGCAUUCCUUCAGGUGGUUGUUUCGUGGAAGGUGAAUGGUUAAGAAAUGCUUUUCGCUGGAAAGAUACUGUAGGUCCAUGGGCAGAGAGGCCUGGACACUUUGGUGAUGUUUGGAACUAUUGGACUGAUGAUGGACUUGGGCACUUGGAGUUCUUUCAGGUUCCAUCAUAUUACCUUUGGUUAAUGCCUAAUGUUAGUUGGUUGAAAAAUAUAUUCGCCUGGGGUCAAUUUUUAUAAUAUAUAUUUUUUGUAGCUGGCUGAAGACUUGGGUGCUGAACCAAUAUGGGUAUUUAACAAUGGUAGUUUGCAUAUUCUUUCACCAUUAAAAAAGUAUAUCUUAAUGUGUAAACUGUGUUUGUAUUUCUCCUUCAUUUAUGGUGCCUUUAUCAAUCCACAGGAAUUAGCCAUCAGGACGAAGUUGAGACAUCCAACAUUUCACCUUUUAUUCAAGUAAGUCUCCUGCCUCUGCCUGAUCCAUCCAAGUUCCAGCAAACUUUAACUAGAUGCUUUAUUGCUUUAUACUUCAGUAAAUUAGUGCGAUCCAUAAAGGAUGUGGACUUACAACUUCAUACAGACUCCGUGUAAUUAGUCUGAUUUACAAUAGUUGACUACAGUCCUUGUCCUAAUCUUUAAUUAAGGUGGUAUGAUUAAACUAUCUUGUAUUAGUAUCAUGUUUCUGUUUUAUACAUCUUUGACCACAUAGACAGAAAAUAAACUUAUCAUUAUAGUAAUCGAGUUAGAACUAUUGAAACAACUCAAUAUUUUGCAAACUUUAAUUAGUCCUUGUGGUGGUAAUGACAACAUAUGUUGUCAGGAAAUACUUGAUGGUCUUGAGUUUGCUAAAGGUGAUGCGAGUACAACCUGGGGUUCUGUCCGAGCUGCAAUGGGACAUCCAGCACCUUUUGACUUGAAAUAUGUUGCUAUCGGAAAUGAGGACUGUGGCAAGAAG
Molecule: long non-coding RNA, 50578 nt
Filed under: Daucus carota (carrot)
Lineage: Eukaryota; Viridiplantae; Streptophyta; Magnoliopsida; Apiales; Apiaceae
Description: long non-coding RNA (DCAR_LNC003134)
Source: RNAcentral